RNAcentral lists this long non-coding RNA (52764 nucleotides) under Chlamydomonas reinhardtii. RNAcentral's name for it is "long non-coding RNA (CREI_LNC000086)". The record is from RNAcentral. Lineage: Eukaryota; Viridiplantae; Chlorophyta; Chlorophyceae; Chlamydomonadales; Chlamydomonadaceae.
GCAUGUAUGCAUGUUGACGCGCGCACACGUAUAUGCACAUGCACACGCGCACACCAAGCCGGCUGAUGACCAAACGUUUAGAUGACGAAUCUGAGCGGGACAGCCGUUGAAAGCGCCGCACACAGUGACGACAAAACGAGGCAUUUGUCUGACGGCAAUCAUAUAUCGCGAACAUACACACGCACACACACUCCCCUAACUUCGCAACCCCGCCCUGCACACUCCACGCCUCACAUCCACGGCGCUUCAUACCUUGCUGCCAUACACGGGGUCCGUGACCUCACCCACGCACCUGAUCUUCACCCCUUCGCGACCCUCACCACCUCACCUCACCUCACCUCACCUCCACUGCACCUCACCUCCACCGCACCUCGCUGCAGAUGACGCCCGAGGUGCUGCGCGAGCUGGACCACGCGCUGGGCCGCGGCAACAGCGUGGCGGCGGGCGCGGCGGGCGGCGCGGCGCCCAUGGCCCUGGGCGGCGGCCCCGGCGGCGUGGCGCAGGCGGCGGACGGCCCCGGCGCGGCGGCGGCGGCGGCGGCGGCUGCGCAGCUGGCGGGCGCCAAGGGGCGUGUGGGCAGCAAGGUGGUUGAGAACGUGCGCGACAUGCCGCCGGUGCUCAUGAUGGAGGACUGAGAGGGGGCUGAGGGCCUGUGAGGGCUUGUGAGGGCUGUGUGGCGGGACUGCUGGUGGUGGCGGGGUCUCCGACCCGUGUGAUAAGGUGUGGGGGCACCUGGAGGGGAGUGCGGCAGGGGUGGUGGGCGGGAUGUGACCAGGGGGUGACCGACUUGGCAGGUGGCAGGACGACAGGUUUGACCAGGCAGACACUGAAGGGAUCCAUAGCGCAGAAUUGACAGGAUGAUUGCUAAACACUUAAAGAAGCAUGGCUAGGGUGCGACGCAAGACCGGACAGCAUGCUUCUGCGAGAGACAGAGGCAGCGCAUGCCGCACAUGGGUUUUUGUCAGUGGUGAUGGGGUCGAUUGCAUUGUGGCGGCAGCUAUAGCCUGCGCGGUGUAACAUGAGUGUUGCGGUGGGCCGUUGGCGGUGUGCCGGCCUUCACCACUUCAUGCGGGUGGCCGGUGGGCUGGCGGUUUCGUGUACCUGGGCUGCCAGGCGCCAGCUGUAAUUAUGUGGGACCGGAUUCGAUGGAUGUGUUAUUGCAGUAAAUAGGCACAAGGAUGUGGUUCAACGCUCUGGAGCCAAUAGCGAUGGGCAAAGACGAGGGAAUCGGCUGGCCGUGCCUGCGGCACGAACUGGCACAUGCGCACCCCGUAUACACACCUGGUACACCUGCCCCUCCAGGGCGCCGCGCACACACCACAUACGGCUUACAGCCGCGCAGGCGGCACAGCUGAGCUCAGGCCGCCCCUCCAGCCCCGCCUGAACGGCCCGCCGUGGCGCCGCACGGCCGCCGCACCGCCCCCACCAGGCCACCAACGACCGCUGUGCCCUGCUGCCCUCGCAUGCCGCUGCGCCAAGCCGCCGGGGUGUACCUGGGCUACAUGCUGCCUGUAAUGCCUGUCAUGCCUGUCAGUGUCACCCUCCUGCCCACUCCGCCUGGUCCAUCAAACGCGUGCAGCAGCGGGACUGCCCAGGGCACGACCAGCACCAAUCAGGGGAAUGCGCUUCCGUGUGCCCUCUCGCCUCCAGCAUACCGGCACUUACUACGUAGCGCUCCCUUGUGCCCUCUCGCAUUCCACUUAAGACGUACGACAAGAAAAGGUGGGCUGAGCCUAAUAAAGACGUACUAAACUGAGACUAAUAAAGACGUCCUGAAAGUGCGUAAUGGAGAAGGCCCUUCUCCUGCAUACCUGCAAAACGUUCCCACCAACGGGCAGGAAGUGCCCUGGCCGUCAGCGGGCAUCACUCCAACCACCGUCCGGUUGAGUCCGCGACACACGCACGUGCGCCUUUCACCACCGUGUACUCCGCCACGAAGCCAACCCAAGAUGCAUGCACACGCGCCCCACUGCACUCCAAUUGCACAGCACCUUUUACACACCAGCGCACCUGCACUGCCUCACGCGCCAUCCACUGCUUGUUUACCUGAUGCACGAGGAUAUUGUCAACCAGAUCACACCACAUGCAAAGAAUAGACUGGCCUUGACAGUCCUACUUUAUCGUACACCAUGUUCCACUGGCUUUUGCGCACGCUCGACCUCCCUGACGGGCACUUCCCACCCUGCGGCGGACCCGCAAACCUGCAGCCAGUGGUCUGUCCAAGCCCGCGCCCACAUAGCCCCCAGCCACAUGAACCCUCAUGCCGGCGUCAUCACGAGCCGACACCUGCGCCGCCCAGCUCUGUGGGGCUUGCCCGCGCCCCCGCCUUGGCCUGCUUCAUCGGGGCGCCCGGUGCCUCCGGCUGCCCCCGCGAUGGCCGCUUCCUGCCGGCCGCCGCCGCUGCCGCCGCCUUCUGGGGCGUUGUGCUGCCGACGACGUGGCCGCCCGCCGCCGCCACCAGGAGCUGACCCUCCACAAGCGCGGGGUCGGAGGUCGCCUGCUGCUGCUGCUGCUGCUGUUGCCGCUGCCCCUCCGCCUGCUUGCCCUUGCCCCGUCCCCGGCUGCCGCCGCUGCCACUAGCAGGUGACUUCCGGGCCGACGGCGGCGGCGGCGUGUCCAGGCCCCCGCCCCCGCCAUCUGCAGCUGAGGAGCGCCGCUUGCGACCCGCGCUCCCGCUGCCGCCACCGCCGCCAGCACCGCUGCCUCCCCCUCCGCCUCCUCGCCGCCCCAUGCUGCCAGGCGGCGUGUACUCCUCAUCCGCCUCGCCACCCCGCGCCUCGCCACCCCCCUGCCCCUCCCCGUCCUCAUCAUCCUCGUCAUCGGAGGACAGCGCCUCACUGGCCUCCUUGUCGUCGUCAUCAUCAUCCAGCCCCGCUGCCGCGCGCUGCUUGCGGCCUCCUCCCCCUCCUGCGCCUCCUCCGCUGCCGCCGGCGCCUCCCGCCCGCAGGUGCUGGGGCAGGCGGUGCUGCUGCGCGGCCAGCUCGCUGAUGAACAGCGUGUUGUGCGCCCUGUGUGUGGGGGGGUGCGGGGGGGUGGAGCGGGUGGGUGACCGCGAGCCACAGGCACACAGGCAGCCCAAACGCACCCUGCCAUCAACCCGCAACCCCACCUGCACACGUACCCGCACCCGCACCCGCCGUGCAAACUCCAUCCCCGCAGCUGCGAGUGUUGAAAACAACAGCCCCGCCACCGGCCCUGGUGUCGUCCUGCUCACCAGCCCGCGUACUCGCCGAAGCGCUCCGUGAACGCCGCCGCCACCUGGCCGUGCAGCGCCUUGGUGAGCGCCUUGCCGCGCAGCGCCGGCCGGUAGUAGCGCACCUGGGGGGGGGGCGGGGGGUGGCGCAUGGGGGGGGGGGGGGCAGACGUGCAAGCGUGAGCGAAUGAGAGAGCGAGGGCGCGACUGAACGAGGAGGAUGCGUACGGUGGUGGUGGUGGUGGGGCGCGGGUGCACCAGGCCACACACCCAGCUUCCUUGCAUGCCCCGCCCCGCCGCCCCGCUGCCCUCACCGCGAUCUGCCACACGUGUGUGUCCACGGGUAUGGCCGCGGCCUUGUCCAGACUGAACAGCGCGACGCAGGCAGCCACCUUGGGGCCCACGCCUGGAGGUGGCGGGAAGAGGCAGGAGGGGAGGAAGAGAAGCAGGAGGCAGGGUAAGAGAAGCAGGAGAGGGUAAGAGCAGGGGCAGGAGGUGCGGGUCGCGGUGGGCAGGUGGGCAGGAGGGCCCGAUGGUGGCGGGUGGCAACACUGGGCGGGUGGCGCACUUCCGCCCGCAUGCGACCGCUAGCGGCAACAGGCGGGGGGGGGGGGAGGUGCCCGUGGGAGGUGCCGCAAGCGGAGGCAAGGAGCUCGUCAUCAACAGUGCACCCGUUCGUCCAAGAUCACAAGGAGAAACAAGCGCAAAGACUGUGUAUGCCGUAUGCGAUGCAGGAACGCAACGCGUGUGUAUGUAUGUGUAUAUGUGUGUGCGUUGAGGGGGGCGGGGCCGCCUGCCGCGCCCUGCCUUCCCCUCCAGGCCGCCCCGCCACCCACCCGGCAGCUCCUCCAGCGCCGCCACCGCCUCCUGCAGCCCCACCCGCCGCAGCCCCAGCAGCCACUGCCGCCCGCCUCCGGGCUUCUGCCGCAGCGCCGCCACACUGCCCACCACGAACUUGGCGCGGUAGCUGCAGGCAGCAACAGGCAGCAGCAGCAGGGGCAGGGGCAGGAGCAGCAGCAGGCGGAUGUGGCAGCAGGCCGUAGUGGGCAGUCGUCAGUCAGGCGGGACACAGCUGAGAGGGCAGGAGGGACGCAGCCGCAGCCGGCGGCUCGUGGGCUGUGUGCAGCGCGCACGUGCUGCCGGCGCGCUGCAGCGCCCUGCUGGCUGCUGGGCAUCGCCUCCGCUCUUGCCUCCCGUCACGCUCACCUCCACCUUCACAGAGAUUUGCUCCAUGCUUCAGCCCUGCCCUGACCCCCUUGACUGUUGGGACCUAUUUGGCUGGGCCCGAGCACAUAACCCCCUAACCCCCUUCCCCCUGCGACCCGCAUGGAUACCCGCCCGCCCGCACUACUGCCCCCGCGCGCGCACCCGAAGCCCGCCGCCCGCAGCUCCUCCUCCGUGGCCGCCGCCAGCUGCUCCAGGCUGGGGAAGGCGUAGUAGGACAGCACGGGAGCAGCAGCAGCCGCGUCUGAGCCUGCCGCCUUGCCGCCGGCCACAGCGCUGGCCCGGCGCUUAAAGCCCUUCUGACCCGCCUUGCCCCCCGGCGUUUCUGGCUUGAUGUCAGGCUCAGCGGCAGCGCUUGCCGCUGCCUGCAGCGGCCCCGUCCCUGCCUGCAGCUGUUCUACUGGCUCCGACUUGAUCUGCUGCUGCUCCUGCUGCUCCUGCUGCUGUUGAGGCAAUGCCGGUGGCGGCAAGGGCUCCGCGGGAGUGAGCGGCGUGCCGUACGCGGAACACAGGCGCUCCACCAUGCCGUGUAUGCGGCUGAUGUGGUUGUUGGAGGAGCAAAUGAACUGGAACAGGCACUCGUGCGGGUCCUGGCGCAGCAUGCGGGCGCCCGGGAAGUAGGGGCUCACCGCCGCGAAACGCCCACAUGCCGCCGACCAGUCACGGGUCAGCUGCGCCAGACUCACGCCCUGCUGCUGCUGCUCCUGGUCCUGGUCCUGCGCCGCCGGCUCACCACAGCCUGGCCGCGGCCCCGGCGGCGGCGGCAGGUAGAAGUAGUCGCGGACCGCCGCCUCGUCGCCCUCUUCCGCUGCCUCCGGCCCCGACCCCCGCGCCAGCACGCGGAACACCACGUCUGCCGGCAGCUGCCUCAGCGCCACCAGCCGAGGCCCGAUCACGCCCGUGUACUCGCUCGGCGCCGUGGCCCGCCAGCGGAAGGACUGCCCCGUGGGCAGGCAGAAGUCCAGCUGCAGCUCCGAGGGUGGCGUGCCCAGGGAGCGCCAGCCGGCAGGGGCGGCAGCGCCGGCGGCGGCGGGUGGCGCUGCUGGCGCUGAGCCCGCCGUGGGCGGGUCCGCCAUCGGCGCUGUGGCGGAAGCGGCCGUGAGUGGAGACUCUUGAGAGUUCCAGGCCCUCCUGAUUCCAAUGAAGCAGGUUCGUGCGGUGAGGUUAGAGGCGUGUAGGAUGCGCGGGCAACAAAGUUGGGAGCGCUGCGGCAAGUGGCCCGACGACGUAACAAUUUGGCGGGCUCUUGCACCAAGAGGGCGGCAACAGACGUGGUGCAUGCGAACGGCACUGUUGAUGGCGACAAUGAGCGUGAAUUGCGUUACCUUGCGGGAGCUUUGCCCGCAACUCGGCAUGCAUGGGAAUUGACCAACUUGCGCGAUUCGUUACUGCUGCUGGGUUUACCUCGCGCCUGCUCUGAUGUAGUACACCAUAUAAUAACCAAGACGUUACAUCUACAGCCGACGUUAGGUCGCUUUGUGUUUGACGGGAGCCGCGCUGUCACGAUGAACUGAACCUUUGAAGCGCCCCAGGAGUCAUGAGCACAUUCGCUGCGAAGCUAAAGGGCGCGGGCAUUGUGCCACAGACGGCGGCAGCCCAGGGCGCCAAGCAGCGUGCGCCCAAUGCCCCGGCGCAAGCUGCCAAGCCGGCUAAGCAGACUGUUGGUUUCGCGGUCGCCAACAGCACGGAUCGCUUGGGCUUCAUUGGCAAUGUCCUGAUUGGCUACAGAGUGGAGGUUCAGGUGAGCUGCGGGCGCGGGCCAAUCUGACGCGACUCUGCGCGAAGGCCCGCUCCAUUAUGCAUUCUGUCGACGCAUAUGUGGCAAGAAGCAUAAAGGCAUGAUACCUGAGGUCCUGGCCCUGCAUUUGUGCAGGUGGCAAGCGGGGUCGUUUACGAGGGCGUCUUUGGUUCGUUGCAAAACGACGGCAGCGGCGUGUCGGUGGUCCUCAAGUUCGCCAAGGUCAUCAAGGACCCAUCGGCGCCCGCGGUGGACAAGACGACCCUGGCAGAGAAGCCGGUGGCAGUCCUGACCAUUCCAGCUGCGGACCUGGUGCAGGUGUAUGCCAAGGACGUGCGACUCAGCGCAGAGGACCUCUCAGGAGCUGACCGCAGCGAUGUGGGCUUCGAGACGGAUGCAGCUAUCUCGCGCGGGCGUGGCGGGUAAGUGGGGGCCGGGGACAGGCGCUGCGGCCUGCGGGUGUUUGGGAUGACUGGCGGGGCACUUUGUUGCCUCGACUGGUCUCCAAGACUCUUGACGAUGGCGAUGGUACCCGCUGCUAGUGUGAGUGUGUAUCCCUUAUCCAUCAACUAGCAGCUCUUCGAGUGGCUCGGGCGGGUCAUGACCCUAACAGCUCGGUUUGGUCCUUCCAAACAGGGGCAUGCGUGAGCUGCAGAAGUGGCAACCUGAUGAGGGCGAUGCGGGUGGCUUCUUCAGCUUGGAGGCUCCAGGGGGCGGCGCUGGCUGGGACCAGUUCGCUGUCAACCGCGAUCGCUUCGGCGUGCAGACCACUUGGAGCGAGCACUUCUACACCACGAAAAUUAACCGUGAUGAGUGCAAAAUUUCUGAGGAGGAGGCGGCCCGCAUCGCACGGGAAAUUGAGACCGGUGUCUCGGGUGCUGCCACUACCAACAUCCAUAUGCUGGAGGAGCGUGGCGGCGAGCUAGGUGCCGACGUAAGUAGCGUGGAUGCAUGACAGCCGUCGGGGCCGGCCAAGGCCAGCCGGAGGGGCAAGGGGGACACAGGCCUUGACCGGUAGCCGCCGUCCGCGGGGUUGAGUGUGCACGCGGUGCGCCCGAGCGCCUCCUACUCCGCGGCGCACAUGGCGGUGUGCAGGCGCUGCACGCGGCUCACUCGCCACACAACCUUUCCCCCUGUGUAAAGCUGCGGCAAGGCUUCUCGUCUUUGUGGUUAUGGACUGCGGUUGGACCACGCUGACGACGGCAGUACUCAUCGCCCGCCUCCUGCCGGACUGCUGGUGUGUAUGUCUGUGUGCCGUACACAGGUGGACGAGGAGGCGCUGUACGGGGCAGUCAUCCGGGACGUACCGCCCGGAGCUGCAGGAGCAGGAGGACCCGGAGGACCCGGCGGCUUCAACGCCUCAUCGCAACAGCCGCCCCGUGGGCCGGGCGGCCAGGGGCCGGGGCGCGGUCCGGGGCGUGGGCCGUCGCAGCAGUCGGCAGCGGACCGGGCUGUGGCCUGGGGGCGCGCCGGCUCAGGUGUGGCGGCGGUGGCGGGCGGGCUGUCCGUGGCGCAUCAGAAGCAGCAGCAGGCGGGCGCAGCAGCAGGUGUGGAGGGAGGCCUAAGGCGGAGCGAUGUGGUGUGUUGUGAUGAGUUAGGGGCGGGCGCGGACCCGUGAGGGUGCUGGCGGACGAAUUCGGUUUAGCUCUUAGGCCCAAGGCGCCAGGCACCCGACUAGCGCCUCUGGCUGUCAGGGGAUGCCCGCACUCCCCGCACGCAACCCACCGUGGCACCUUCCGUUGCCCCUCCCGUUGUGCUGUUGCAGCCGGAGGCCCCAAGCCCAGCGUUGGCGCAAUUCCCGUUCCAGUGCCGGGCGCCGGGUCUGCCCCGGCGGCGGCUGGGGAGGGCGGAAGCGGCAGCGGCGCCAGCAGUGCCGGAGGCACCGCGCCCAUUGACAUUGACCCACGCAAGGAGGUCAACAAGGUCCGCAGCUCGCUUACUGUGGGCUCCAAGAAGGACCGCAGGUGAGCGGGGGCUGGACGGCACUUUGGGGAGGCUGGGCUGGGGGGUGACGCGGGUGGGCUGGACAGGCUGGUGACUUGAUUGGUGUGCCGCAAGCUUGCUGCUAUUGCGGGUGUGUGUCGGGUUGCACACGUUGGGCAGAGGCGCCACCGCGCGGUGCUGCCGCCCCACAUGUACGUCGUCUGUCGGCUCACUCCAUUCCCCUGCACCUCACGGCCGCGCAGCUCCCCCUACGGCACUCCCAAGCUGGGCGGUGUGGGCGGCAUGUCGCGCUCACCGGUGUUCGCCAGCCCGCUGGUGGCUGACCCUGUGUCCUUCUCGGCGCUGGACCUGGACCCGGGGGCGCCGCAGGUGGGGAGGGGGUUGUGGCAGAGGGCGGGCAGCUUCAAAGGAGGGGCGGAGAGGGAAGGGCUGCAGAGGGCAGGGGGAGAGGUAGAGAUGCCCCCUGCAAUGCAAGGGUGUCCACGGGUGGCAGCAGAUGCGCGGCACAGGCGGGGUCAGGGCCCGGGCGAGUCGGCAGGGACAGGUCCCGUGGAGUGGGUAGCACUGGCGUCGAGGCACUGGGAAGGGGCGGGGAGGGAAGGGCAGGGGCGGGGCACCCCUGGACGGCCGAAACGCGCGUUGAUCAGCUGGGACGGGUAGCUGGUGCCGUGUAGCUAGGUUGGGUCAGUGCCGAGGGAGCUCAGCGCCGCGCUAUACCCACACGCCGCCAUGCCGCCUCCGCCUGCAGGUGAAGCUGGACCCGGAGGCCCAGGCCGAGUUCCUGCGCUUCAAGGAGGAAAUGAACAAGAAGCGCCAGCAGGCAGCAACAGGGUGAGGCGGGAGGGGUGGGGCGGGGCCAUGUGGGGCUGGGCAGGAAGCAGUACAGGGCACCAGUUGUUGGGCGGGUUUGUCCAGGUAAUCCAUCAUUGCUCAUGAGGCAUCACAUGAGCAGUCGGCAGUGCUGUUUCAACCCUCUCGCAUCACCCCCUCCGCGUGGCUUGCGUCUGUGUCGCAGAAGCGAGUCCCUGGCGGAUCUCAAGAAGUCCUCAUCCUCAUUCAAGGACCGCCCAGCAGGAGCCGCAGCGCCCGCAGGAGCAGCGGCGAACGGCAGCGGCGCCGCCACACCGGCAGCGGACGGUGCUGCCACUGCCGCGCCCGCGGCGGCCGGUGCCGCAGACGCGGCCGCCAAGCCUGCUGCCAAUGGCGACACGGCUGCGGCUGACAAGCCCAAGGUGGUGUCGAAGCUGAACCCCAACGCCAAGCCCUUCUCCCUCAACAUCUACGCCAAGGAGUUUGUGCCCAACUUCGGCAAGCCCGCAGCGGCCGCGGCGCCGGCCGCGGCGGCCGCCCCGGCGGCAGGCACGGCAGCGCCUGCUGCAGGAGGCAGCGCGGGUGGGGCCGGCGCGACCGGCGCCGGCGGCAUAAGCAGCACCGCGGUUCUGUCCACGGCGCUGCCCUCGGCCACCAACCCCAAUGCGGCCAACGCGCCGCCGGCGGCCGCGGCCGCGGCGGCUCAGGCGGCCGCCACUGCCAUCUCUGCGGGCGCCGCUGGCCAGGCCAGCUACCUGGCCAGCACCAGCGCCGCCUCGCACGGCAUGGCGGCGUCCUACCACCACAGCAGCGCCGGAGGGCACGGGCCGCAGCAGCACGGGCCGCAGCAUGGCGGCGCCGGCGGCAUGGGCGGUGGCCACGGCGGGCAGGGCCAGUACGGCGGCGGCGGGGGUAUGGGUGGCGGGCAUGGCGGACACCAUGAACAGCGCGGCGGGUACGGCGGCGGCGGCGGGCCCAUGGGCCGGGAAAUGCGCGACGGCGGCCACGGCGGCGGCAUGUACGGCGGCGGCGGGCACCGCGGCGGCGAGAACAUGUACCGGGGUGGCGGCGGCGGCCAGGGCAUGAUGGAGGGUGGCGGUGGCGGCGGCUACCGGGGCGGUGGCGGCGGCGGCGGCCCUGGCGGCGACCCGUUCCGCGGUUCCACCGGCUCGGGCGCGGGCGACGGCUACCACCACCAUCACCACCACCACCACGGGGGCCACAAGGGCGGCCCCGGUGGCGGUGACCAUCACGGCCCCGGCAAGGGCGGCGACGGCGGCCAUGGAGGCCACAUGGGCGGCCCCGGUGGCCCAGUGGGCGGCCCUGGCAGCGGCCUGCACAAGGUGCCGCCGCCGCCGCCCCAGGGCCCUGGCGGCAUGGGCCCGGGCGGCGAGGGCGGUCCCAUGGGCCCGCACGGCCACGGCCACGGCGCCACCAUGGUGGUAAACGGGCACGCGGUGACGCCGGCCACCAUGGGUCCGCACGGCGGCCUGGUGCCCAUGACCCCCGCCGCCAUGGCUGCCGCCGGCAUGCCCGCCGCCAUGGCCGGCAUGCCGUACGGUGUGGUGAUGGCGUCCGGCCCCGGCGGCCCGCACUACAUGGCGCAGAUGCCGCCCGGUGCCACGCACGUGGCCAUGGCCUCCACGCCGCAGGGCGCGGUGCCCAUCAUGGCCUACGCGGUGCGGCCUGCGGGCGGCGGCCCCCCCACCGCCAUGGCCAUGACGCCCACCGGCCACAUGGCCAUGAUGGCGGCCGGACACGCGCCCCCGGGCAUGGCGGGCCACUACGGCGCCGUGGCGGGCCCCUACAUGGCGCAGGUGCAGGUGCCGCCGGGCGCCAUGCCGCCGCCCAGCCCCACUGGCACGGGCCGCUCCGCGGGCGCCUACUUCCAGGCGGCAGGCGGCGGCGGCUACCCGGGGCCCAUGAUGGCGCACCCGGGGCAGGGGCCGCACGGCGGGCCGCACCCCGGCGGCCCCAUGGGUGGCGGCCAGGGGCCACAGGGCGGCGGCCACCACAUGAUGCAGCAGGGCCCCAUGGGCGGCGGCGGACACAUGGGCGGCGACGGCCGCGGUGGCAUGGGCGGGCCAGGCGGACCCAAGGGUGGCCGCGGCGGACACCGCGGGCCGCCACCGCCGCGCAUGGACCACGAGCGGCCCGCACCGCCCGGGCCCCGCGACAUGGAGUGAGCGGCCUGGGCAGCGGCCUGAGCAGCCUGGCAGCGGCGAGGACUCAACAAUAGAGGAGGAGGGGCGGAGGAGCCGGGGAAGAGGGCCCUGCAGGCGCCGCGCCUGGCAGGUGACGACACGGCUUGAGGGGUCGAGUCAGGACAAGGAUGUCCGGUCGUGCGGGCGUGCCGGCGCAGCCGCAGCGUUCACGUGGGUAUGUACGACCCUGUGCGCUGCGGGCCGGAGGGCGCAUGCAAGGGCAGGCGUGUGCAAGCACAAGCGCACGCGCACACGCUACUAGGGCACAAGUUUGGUGGACUGAGGCAGUGCCCAUUGGACCUGUAGCUGGGUAUAGCCGAGGUGUCGGGCUACUGCUACGGGAUCUAGGGGGACCUAGGCGGCAGCUCGCCUGCCCGCACGUCUGAUAGGGCCCCAGCCCCGCAGGCCGGUGUGUGGCUUGCGUGCGGUGCCUCUGCAUCUCUUGCGGGCGACGCCGCCGUGGCUGCACACACCUCCUUACCUUCCAGGCCGAACACGGCGCCAGGAUGCUGCACGCCAUGCGGCGCCGCCGCUUGGUGCCUUGCUUGGUCAUCAUACACAAGCCAUCUAGUUGUCUUAGUGAAAGGGCAAGAUGUUUGUUGCCAAUUAGGCGGAUAAUGACUUGCCGCACACUGCUAUCUAGGAGAUGGGUAAUGUGGUAAUCUGGAAGAGCCCAUUUGAAGGUUGGAGGCGUUUCAUGGUGCUGGUACGCAUAUGAGUCACCGGGUGUGCCCGGGAGGAUUGGAAUUGCUAACGGCGCGUGCUCCGGGGCUGUCGGGGGUAGGAGCAGCGCUGGAGCACCUGCCCCGGUGCACCUUGCAGCUGCAUAUGCAUGGGCUGCGCGCGUGGGCAGGCCGCCGAGGGCGUCGCCCCCUGAGCGGGAUUUCUAGGUUGCCGCGGGUGGCAGGGAAGCGGACGCCAUGCGGAACAGACAGCUGGAACGGCGCCACGCACACACAGUGCAGGUCACUGGGUUUCUGAACGGGUCGCGUCGUGCUUCUUGGAGGCUGGAUUACAGGAGCCGACUUGGGAAUCCGAAGAGCCCGGCAGUUGAGCCAAAGACGGGCCCACAGCAACUUGAGGGUGCUUCUGGGAACGUUUUGACCAUUGCAUCUAGUAUGGUUGAGCGUCAUUGUCUGAGCGAGUCGUUUCACUUGGCUGUACUCAGGGCAAACGGCGCGGGCAGCAGGGGCGCCUGGGGACGAGCUCAGGCAGGACGAAAUGGCGAGUUCGGAACGGACUGACCAUGACGGACAGCGCGACAACCCGCCCUGUAGUCAAGCAGGAGGCCCGCACCGGUGUUGGACUCAGCGACGCGUUGAGGAUUGCAGUCUGCACAGGGCCCGCCCCUGUGACCACAACCGCUCCCCACUCCGUCCUGCCCAUCUCUGUUCCAGCAACCCAUGGAGGCAUGGACAAGCCUGCCAGACCAGUGCGGCGUAACCCCCUGCCAGACCAGUGCGGCGUAACCCCCUGCAUGCGCCGCACCGUCUUCAUGGCUUGUGCCAUACACUCUGCAUCUGGAGGAUUUGCGUAGCUUGCUUACUGGGGCUGCACAUGGUCGUCAUCGCGCGCUGCCUGUCCUUAACAAACAUUACAAAAACGACACGUACAUGCACCGCGGCCUUUUCAGGUUCUCCUGGGGUUAGCGGGGCCCUCGGCCCCUCCCCCCCCCCCGCAGUCCAGGCGCCGCGCCCCACCCGCACAGAGCCGCCACACGGGACCGCCUUCGCCCAAUGCGUUUGCGACCAACUUGGGGUUCGGUCAGAACAGACUUAUCCCGCGCUGUAUUAGCAAGACAAAUACGAUUGAACGAGUGCAAUGACCGUGCGAUACGGAGGCGUUUGGCAACACGGUUUCGAAACCGCACCCUCCAUAGAACCAGCGGACUGUGGCUGUGGCAUUAUUUGCACGUAUUCUGUAAACGUAUAUCCGUCGUUGGCAGUGCGUGGCCGGCACGUCGCACGACGAAACCGUGCCUCAAUCCCAGCCUGAGCCGCGAGCUUGACUGCUUGGCUAGUAAAUACUUGAUUACUACUACAAACCAAACAGAUGGCAAUGAGAUGCAAGUCGCCGCGUCUGGGACUGCCAUUUAACCGCUGAAACCGAGGGCCAGCCUUUAGCCAAAAUCGUGGUUCAUAACAUUUGAACGCCGAACUGAGCUUUAUGACUCUAAUUCAUCAGCUUUGAUCAAUUACCAUCAUAUGACUACUUCAUGCCCAGCAACAGAAGAAAGGAAUGGGCCUACUAUGCUGCUUCCGAGGUAACAGAACAGACGCAAAUGAUGAACGUCACCUACAGCACCACCUGGCAGCAGAGGUGCCAAAAGAAACUGUGCCAGCCUGCGAGGACGAUGCGCAGCUGCGAUCCCAUCCGAAUAAACAUGUUAUUGCAAGAGGCGAAACUUCCUCUGGUCGCGGCGACGUGCGGGUAAGUGUUGAGCCAGGUCACCAAUCGACGGGCCGUCACCGUGUCGCCUAACAACGACCGCCGCUCGCCUGGGCUCCAACGUUCUUCAGGCGGCAGUUUCAAAUGCAUGCACCGGCUUAGGCGCAGUCGACUCCGAUGCUUGGUCUGCACGCGUCCGAGCGAGCCUCGAUGUCAUCGCUGCGGCCGGUCUCGGCCCCGCCAGGUGAGCGAGCGAUCGGCGUCCACAUACGCACAUGCAGCCACGCGCAAGCAACUACGUGUGGCCGCUUGAACCUGUGAUGCCCGCAUGGCACUUUACACAGCUUGGCGCUCUUCGGGAGUGCGCUGCCGCCGCACGCCUCUGCGCCCGGCGCGGCCGCAAACGGACCUCAGCUGCAGCUACAGCCGCACAUGUGCGCACAAGACACUGCAGGCGCUGCUGCCGCCACCGGCUGGCUGUGCCGGAGCAGCACUGGGUGCGCCGGCGGCACGGCAGUUGGUGCUGCAUCUGUUGCGGCAGCAGUAUCAGCGGCUGGCGGCGGCUGCGGCCCCUCCGCCAGCUGCUGGCUGCCGCAGCUGCACGAAGAGCUGAGUGCGCUCAUGACGGCGGUGGAGAUGGCGCAGCAGGUGAGGGGAAGCCGAGGGGCGCGGGGUGUUGUGGGAUGUCAGAGUCUCAGAUGUCGGUUUUAGGCCUUAGAAGUGCCUGAUUGGUUGAGGUUUCACUGCUUGCUACCUACCUACCUCGCGCCUGUCACUGUGCAGCCUCCGGAGUCGCACGUGGUGGUGGUGAGCCCGGUGGCGUGCGAGGAGGCUUUGUCAGGGCUCCUGGGGGCGGGCUCGGGCGGGGUGAUGGUCGCAGCCUCCACUGUCCCGUUCGUGCUGGUGCCCGGGGAGCAGCUUGCGCUUCCGGUGCUUGACCGCACCGGGCGUCUGGCGGCGGCGCUGCUGCUGGGUCUCGGGGACUUCCAGCCGCAUGCUGCUCCUGCUGCUGCUACCGAGGGUCUGCAGCUGACGUCACCAGACGUGGCGGAGCUUCAGCGGCUGGCGCAGUUCUUUGGUUACGGCAUGUUUGCGGACCCUGUCCACACCAAAUAUCUGUCGAAGGUGCGUUUGGCAUAGCCGUGAUCAAAAUUACGUUUUGUUCUUCAUCUUCUUCACCACAGCUUUCUCGCCACUGUUCCGUCGCCCACUUUUCGUCGUACCCUGCCCACCUCUCCCACCGCCACGCCUCCCUCCUCACUCCCGUCAGGUUGCCUCCCACCUGUCCUCCGCCUCCGUCAGCCUCAGCCUGCACGACCUGGUGUGUGCGGUGCUGGACGCGGUGCCCGACCUGCUGGCCGCAAAGACGGGACUCACACGGCCGCACGCGCUCAUGGCAGCAACCACCGCGCCGCCGGGGCAGCCGCCGAGCCCGCCGGCGGUGGCGGCAGUGGCCGGGGCGGCGCCGGGCACCUCUCCGGCUGCCAGCAUCACUGGCGGCGGCCUGAGCCCGGCAGUCAUAUUCAUGCCGCGGGGGCGGAACGGGUCCGGCGCGGACGCAGCUGCUGCGGACCCCGCACCCGCAGGGCCGGCGGCAGGCGCUGCCGCCACCACCGGCACCCGUAGCGGGCCAGGUGUUGCUGCCGACGGCUCUGGUGUCACCUCCCAGAACGUGUUGAGCAGCAGUGGCCACCUGGGCACCGGCACGGGCGGCGCCUGCAGCUUCCCCGCGCCGCUGCAGGCCCCCGCCGUGUCCGGGAGCCACGGCGCCCCCCCGGCCGCCAGCCCCGCCCGUCAGCAGCCAGGUCAGCAGCAGGCAGGGCCGGCAGCUGGCGGCGCACCCUCUCUGCACAACUUAGGAAGCAUAUUCGGCAGCAACUACAGCACGGGCGGCAUCGGCGGCAGUUUGGAAGCGGGCGGCGGCGAGGGCGGCCACCAUAGGCUGCUGGCGGGGGGGCCGUACGCGGAGCGCCAGCCGCCGCCGCCGCCGCCGCCGCGCCCCGCCCGCAUCAAGGCGGUGCGCCUGCCGCUGAACGGCACACUGCUGCUGCAGACUAUCAGGUAGGCUGGGGUCUGGACUCUACAGCGUGCAGGAUAUGAGUGCUGGGGCCUGAGGGCUGGGGCCUGGGGCUCGUGGACGUGUCGGCGCACAUGGAGAGCUCCAGGAGUUCCCGGGAUUGUGUAGCCCAAGGGGAUCGCUGACACACUGCUGGCACAACCCAUGUGGCCCACGUCGUGUAGCUGCUCCUCCCAAUGCCAAUGCGCGAUUCCCUUGCACAGGUCCGCCCAGGUGGCGCAGACCGCAGCCACCGCAGCUGCCGGCCCCAUGCAGAACCGCACGCUGGCCGCCUCCGCCGCCCAUGCCGCCUCCGCGCCGCUGCCGCGCCCCAGCGGCCGCGUGGCUCUGGGCCUGCUGUCUAGCGCCGCGUGCGCCAGCCCCUCGCUGCACGGCGGCACACCCGCACUCAUGGACACGGGCGUUAUCAGCGGCGGCGGCGUGCACUCGCCCUCCAGCGCCGCCGGGCCGCCCGAUGUGCUGGUGGCGGUGAUCCCCGACGCCAGCGCCCACGUGCUGGACGAGCAGCAGCCGCAGCUGGACGUGCGCCUGGCCAGCAGCCUGGUGCUCACACUGGCGGGCGGCGGCGGCGGUGCAGGAGGCGGUGGCGGUGCAGGAGGCGGUGGCGGUGCAGGAGGCGGCGGCGCUGCAGGAGGCGGCGGCGCUGCAGGAGGCGGCGGCGGUGAGGGCCCCCUGCACAGCUCCACCGCCAGCCUGACGCAGCUGGGCGGCGCCGGCGGCUCUGCCCUGGCGUCCAUUACAAGCGUGCCCACCUCCCACGCCGGUACUGUGCUGCUGUGCCUGGAGUCGUUGUCCGCCGCCGCAGCUGCGGCCGGCGCCUUCAAUCCAGCGCUAGCAGCAGGAGCCGCGAUGGUCGCUACAGCCGCCGAAAGGGGUGCCACCGGCAACUUCAGCCGGCCCAGCCACAGCAGCACGGGUGGACCGAGCUGCCUGGGCCUCACGCCCGCUCCCUCCUACGUGCCCGGCACCAUCCCCACCGCCGCAGCCGCAGCCGCCACAGCCACCGUUGGCCCCGCCGCCAACCCCUCGCCCUGGCGCAACCGCGGCUCUGGCAACUACGCCGCCGCCGCCUCCUCGACCGUAGGCGGCAGCCACGCCGGCCCCGCUUCCAUGGGUAGCAUGAGCACCAACCUGGCCUCAAGCACCGUCCGCCACAGCGCCGGCAGCCGCCUGGGGCUGGGCAGCUGCGCCGGCGGCCCGCUCAGCCACUCCUAUUGGCCUCACAUGACCGCGCCCGGUGUCGGCGGUGCAGGCUGGAGCCACGGCGGCGGCGGCGCAGACCGCGACUCGGCGUCCAGCGGGGCCUACACACACGGCGGUGCAGCAAGCGCGGUAGGAGGAGCAGGCGCGCUCAGCUGUCAAGCCGUCGGUGCGGGCGUGGCGGCGGCGGAGCUGGCGGCCUUAGGUGCCUCCAACGCGGCUGCGUCCGCGCAACACCAGCAUGCGGCAACUGGUGCGCUGGUGAGCGCCCAUGCGGCCGGGGUGGCGGCGGUGGCGCUUGGCGCCGCAGCCCGGGCGCGAGCCUCUCUGUGCCCCGGCCCCGGUCAGCUGGGCGUGUACGUGGUGUUUGCGGAGGUGCUGCCGCGCGGGCUGCUGGAGCUGGCGGCCAGGGAGCUGGCGGCAGUCAUGCCGGUGAGGAGGAGCGCAGGACCGCGGGGCCCGGCAGGGCGGAGCGGCGGAGGGUGUACGAUGUGCGCGCGUGCGUGCGUGCGUGUGUGUGUGUGUGUGUGUGUGUGUGUUUUAGGGCUUACAGUUGCCUUCCUUGGGGAUUUGCGUGUAUCCACUCUCCCUGUCCUCUUGUGUAUGUGUAUGAGCACCUGUCUAAUGCCUGCAAGCAGCACGUCGGUUGUGCAGACCAAGAUUGUGCUUUGGCGUGCUUCCUCUCCCUCGUCCUUCAGGUCAUCUUCAGCACCUUCCGGGAGUCCCUUGCCGCAUCCGCAUCCGCCGCUGUCAAUGCCGCCGCUGCGGCCGCAAUCGCCGCAUCGACGAUUGAUGCGACGGGUAGCAGAGCAGCAGGCGGCGCACUGGACGCAGGCGCGGCGAGCUCCACUGCCUCGGAGUGGACAGCCCUCUCGACACAGCUGACUGGGCGCGCACCCGGCGGUGGACUAGGCGGCAACACCACCGCAUCUGCGCUGGUCUCCACAGGUUGCGGCGGUGGGGUUGCCGGGCUGCUCGGUGCCACCGGGCACCUUCUGCACAACGGCGGUGCCGCGGCGUGGCUGGACGCCGCAACACUGGCUGGUGGCGGCAGUGUUGGCAGCGGCGGCUAUGUGCCCCCGCCCUCGGCCCCACUGCCCAGCCCGCUUGUAGGUGGUGGUGGCGGUGCUGGUGGUGGCAACACGUUACUGUCAACUGUGUCAGAGCACACCGUGGCCGCACACGGCCCCGCAGCGGCUGCCGCAGACGCCGCAGUGCUGACCGCAGCCAGCCGGCCCGGCGGCGCCCGGCUGAGCGGGACGGGCGGCCCGGGCGCGGCGGCGGCGGCCUCCAUGCCCCUGCCACGCCGCACCAGCACCGACCGCAUGAGCAGCGGCGGCAGCGGCAGUGCUGGUGCACUGCCGCCGCCUCUGCGGGGCCAUUCGGCGCUGGAGUCCAUUCAGAAACGCCUGGGCGCCGCCUUCGGAGCCGGCCCCACAGGCGGCGGCGGAGGCAGCCAACCGCCCAUGCCGCGCCUGGCGUCCAGCAGCAGUGUGCAGCACCCGCCGGUGCCCGGCGCUCCCCUUCCUCAAGAUUUGAUGCUGCCGCCCCACAGCACCGCUGCAGCCGGGGGCCAGCAACGCGGUUUCCCACGGCUGCUGGCAGGGCCACCGCCCGCGCCCUCAACCCCCUACGCCCACCCCUCCCUCCCUGCCAUACCAGCCGACCAAGAGGCGCGGCCGUACGCCAUGACCUUCGCCACGCCUGCACCUACUUACGCCACCGGCCAGCCGCCGCCCUACCUGGCUCCCCACCUCGCCGCGGCCCCCCACCUGCACGGCCCCCACACCGGCAUGCGCAUGGGCCCGCGCCGCAGCGCCACUGUGGGCCCCGCCGCCAUGCGCGAGCUGCACUCCAGCUCCGGAGCCGUGCAGGCCCCCCAGGGGCCCAGCUCAGCUGCCGGCCCCGGGGCCGCCAGCAGCACCUGCCACCUGCUGGCCGCCGCGGCCGCCGCCGGCCCCACGUCCGCGGCCUCUGGCGCCUACCGCUGGUCUGUCAGCAGCGCCCUGGCGCCCAUGUCGCCCCGCAGCGGCACCCUGGGCUCCACCACGGGCACGGCGCUGGCCUCGGGUCCGGCGCUGUUCCUGGAGGACGCUGCCGCCGCCAGCGUGGGCGGCAUGGCGCCGCCGCCCACUGAGGCUCUGCUGGCGGCCAUGCGGCGGCGGCUGUCCACCGCCCUCAACUCGCACGAGGAGGGACAGCAGGCAAAGUGAGCGGGCUGGGGGUGGGGUGGGUGGGCAGGGGUCGGAAACGAUACGGCCUAUGGGCACGUGCCUUCUGAUGGUGGUGGUGCAGACACGAGUGCCGCGGCGGCGGUGUCGUCGUCUGGGCUGGCGGUGACUGGGUGGCUGCCCGUGUUUGUUGCCCUUCCUGUACCCAACAUUGACAGGGCGGCUGUGAGUCAGGACAUUGCAGCGGUGGAGCUGCUGGAAAUGCUGGGUGAGGACAGAGAGGAAAAGGAGCAAUGUCGUGAUGACUAAGGCAUAGUAGUGGUCGGCAAGUCUUGAUGUCGCCCGAACGCUCUGUUAUGACGACAUCGUAGGGCUGCGGCCAGGUGGGAGCCAUACCACCGACGGCCGCCUUGCUCAUUCCCUCCUGCCCACCCCAACAACCCAGUAACCAGCCCCUGAUCCCUCCUCCCCGCGCAUUCGCACGUGCCUCGUCAGGCCACGGCGGCCAGGGUGUGGUGUUCCGCGGCACGCUGCACGGACUGGAGGUGGCGGUCAAGGUGCUGGAGCAGCAGAAGCCGCCCGCAGCGUCACCCGCGCCGGGGCGGCAGCAGCAGCAGCAGAUCGGCGACGGCACAGCGCAGGGGGCGGAGCAGCCGGUUGCGCAAGCGGGCGAAGGCGGGGGCCCCUGCACGGGUGGCGGGGCGGAGGACGCUAUGAAGGAUGAGGCGGAGCAGGAGCAGCACGAUGCGUUCGUGCGCAUGGUGAGUGCCCAGGCCUCCUCACUGGGGUCGAGCCGGGCGGUGCUGACGUCUACACACGGCCACACGGUGUACAGCAAGAUGUGUGCUGCACCUGCAAGGCCACACACACUGCUGUGCUGCUCAUGCCGUGCUUUUUGAUGCGCCUGCGGUGUUGACCUGCGGCUCCGUGUGUCGUGCAGUUCAAGCGGAGCGCUUUGGAGCUCGCGGUUGCGGGUGUGGUCAGGUGGGCUGGGAGUGGUCAGCGUGGGCAAGAUAAGCAGGUGGUGGACCGACUGGCGCAAUAAGGCUGUGUGUGCGGGCCUGUGACACCGGCAGCUCAUGACUGAGACAUGGGCAUAUAAUUGCCGCUCACGAGUCCCUCGGCCCUCCCCUCCCCUUUCUGUGCUUCGACGCACUCCCCGGCACCGUCCUCCCCGGCACCGCCCUGCUCGGCAUCGCCCUCAUCGCCGUCCUCUUCGCGUCUGCGCCGUCGUCGUCGCCACCGCCAACGCCCGCACCCGCACAGCCACCCGAACAUCGUGCAGGCGAGUACCGCCACGCCGCUGACUGGUGCUGCUGCAUCCCCCGGCGCUCUCCGUGCCCCCUCAAUGCCACCACCGCCACUGCGUGCAAUUUCUAACCACCCGUGCCCGCACCCACACCCGCCCCACAGGUGUAUGCGGUGUUCAGUGACGUGUCGGUGGUGCGGCUGAAGCAGGCGGAGGGACAGCCCGCGCAGCUGAGGCUGUGCGCGGCGGAAGACCUGCGGGCAGCGGGCAUCGCUCCAGGUGAGUGCGCGGCAAGCCCCCAGCGCGGCUUGCGGCUGUCGGUUGUUGUGCGGUCGUGUCAAUGUUAUGGUGCUAGUAUUCCGUCGGCCUUUGAGCUUCCUGCAAGUACACGGCACCUUGGGCCUCACAACCUGACGCCACGGCCCCCGCAUGCCACGACCGUCACCGCCCGCCACCCACCUGCACCUGCACCUGACAGACCCGCUCAACCAGGUCCUGUGUCUGGAGGUGCGUGUGCUGCCCAGCAGCAGGCCGCAGAGGCCAGGGGAGGCCAGGAAUGUGGCACUUUCAUGUUGUCGCCCAGCUUGCAGCUUCAGCCGCAAGGGUAUUUGCUCUUGAUGACUCAUUGACUCAUCAUCUCGCACUGUCCUUCCAACCAACCCAUAUGUCACCGCAGUACUGCGACUCGGGCUCGCUGCUAGAUCAGGUGCGCUCCGGCGCGUUCCGGCAGCCGUGCGCCUCCAGCGCCGAGCAGGGAGCCAUGUGGCCGGCGCUGGUGCCCCUGUACACGAGCCUGCUGGAGGUGGCGCUGGCGCUGCGGCACAUGCACUCCAAGCGGCUGGUGCACUGCGACGUCAAGGCCGCCAACGUGCUGCUCAAGAGCUCGGCAAGGGACCCCCGCGGCUGGAGCUGCAAGCUGAGCGACUUUGGAUGGUGCGUGCACGUGUGCGCAUAGGAUCAUGUAAUGAUGCAGCCGCACCGCUGUGUGGGCAGGCGUGGUGAAGGGUGACAGCCGCAAGCGUAUGUUUCAAUUGCUUGGGUGCAAGUGCUGUGUGCUGCCCUGCAAUGGGCCUCGCCUCUUGUCUGCAAUACCCACCCAGUCAUCUGUACCGCCUCUGCCACGUGCUAACACCCCAUGGCCUGCCAUGUGCGCCGCUCGCUUGCUGCCUGCCCCGUAGCGUGCGUAUCCUGAAUGAGGAGGGGCCGGACGGGCAGCCCGGCUUCCGCAUGGCACACCCGCACGGCACAGUCGCUUUCCUGCCGCCAGGUGAGUCCGCUGGGCACCUGCCGCAUGGGCACCUGCCGGGCACCUGCAUGCGGAUCCGCAGUGACGCCGUUUAAUGGAAGAAUGUCAUGCAUACACGUGUGUUCAAGAGCACACGGAAAAAACAAUACGCGCAAGACAGUGUGUGCGAUGCGAUGGCGUGUGUGUGUGCGCGCGUGUGCGUGUGUGUGUGUGUGUGUGUGUGUGUGUGUGCGUGUGCGUGUGUGUGUGUGUGUGUGUGUGUGUGUGUGUGUGUGUGUGUCUGUGCGUGCUCGCGCGCACGACUCCCGCCGCUACAUGCCGUGGAGUUGACAAGCCCAGCACCUGAGCCCGAGCCAUGAUGCCUGCCCGCCUGCAGAGGUCUUCAAGGGCCCGCGUGUGCUAUUGGGCACCUCCCUCGACAUCUACGGUAAGGCAACGGUGCAAAGCGAGGACUGCGUGUGUGUCCGUGAUGGGCCGCCUCUCACCUGCGCUGUACAAACUCACUUGUUCUGCCCUGCUUCCCGCUAACGUGUCGCUGAGUGUUUUUCGUUUUCCUCCUUGUUACGCCCUGACCCCGCGCAGCCUUCGGCAUUCUGAUGUGGUAAGUGCGGCGCUGUGCUCGAGAGAGCAACCUCGUGUCAUCUACCCGUGCAGGGAGUACUGCUGCGUCUCUGAGUGCGAAAUAAACUGACUGACUGGUCGCGUCCUGCACCACCGACAGCGGCACUGAAUGCCUCCUGUCCCCCUGCUCCUGCUUCCCCCCGCCCUACCCCCCGCCCCUGCAGGGAGCUGCUCAUGGCGCGCACGCCGCACAGGGGCCUGGACCGCAAGGUGGGUGGCCGCGUUGGCAGGCGCCGGCGCGGGUGUGGGCGAUCAGAGGUGUGGAGGUGGGAUGAGCGGGCUCAGGUACUUCCGGUGGCCAUUGACCGGAGGCCAUCGGAAUGAAUGCAGGCACAUGCGCAGCCGCUCUCCCCUCAGCGUCGCACGUGCCCCUGGUGUUUGCGGGUGGUCCCUGUUUGGGUAGCCUAUGCGCAACUACAUACUGCGUGUUCCCCCGCCUUUUGUGUCGCCAAUCUCUGCAUACGAUACACACACGCGCGCGCACACAGGACAUUCCGAGGCAGGUGCUCCACGCCGGGCUGCGGCCCGCCUUCCACCCGCUGGCGCCCGAGCCGUACAGGCAGCUGGCGGCGCGGUGCUGGUCCGCCAACCCGCGCGUGUGAGUGUGGCUGGCACCGGUGCGGGCGGCGGGUGGGCAUGGGCACUGGCUCGGGCGUGGGCAUGGGCAUGACAGUCUCGUGGGGUGGCCGGGCUAGGCGCACAUGCUUGCUACUGCGGCGGCUGCGGCUCCCACUUCAGCUUCGCCCGCUAGGGGUCCAAGUCGUAUGCAAACCUCCUCAUCCCUGAGCCGAGCUGUCUGCUGACCCGCUUGGACACAGCCCCUCGCCUCCCCCCCCGUGAUCAUGCCACCCUUCUCGUCCCGCCCUCCUCAUCUCGCUCUACCCCCCUCUCCAGUCGGCCCACUGCGCUGGCGCUGGUGGCGGAGCUGCAGCAGCUGCUGGCAGACGCGCAGGCGGCGGCGGCAGAGGGGCUACAGCUGCGGUGAUUCAUACAUGGCAAGGAGGGUUCGUGCCAGUGGGCGUCGGUGGGGGCGGAGCGUCGGGCAGGAGCCGGCGUGGGGGCGCGUGGAGGUCACUUGGGGACACGUACGCCAAACAGGGGAUCUGAAGAAAUCAACCGCUGCGGGGAUUCCAGAAAUUUCAUAAUGGACGCGAAGUAAUGUCCGGGUCUAUCAAUCAAGCAAUGAGCAUACCCCCCGCGAAGCACGAAAGCAAUCGGACAGGCAUGGGUGGAUGUGAGCAAUGGGUCGGAGUGUUGGAUUCAGGACGGGUCCGUGCCAUGAGCUGCGCCUGCCGCUGUUACGGGUACUUGAGGCUGCAGGUCAAGGUGCGACGACGUAGAUGAAUGGAGCAACAGGGCCUCAAAGUGAUUGUUGGCACUUUCGCGAUGCCAGUCCGUAUCCUUGUGAUGCAUUGCAAACGAAUGUGUUCGAGUGUGAGAGGUUAUUGAUGUUGCCAGGGUGCUUCAAGCAUGCAUGCAUGAAGAAGCGCAUGUAUGGAGAGGUCAAACUUAAAUGGGUGUGCGCGUGCACCUGAUAUGGAUGGAGCCGUGAACAUGCGCCGCGCCCACACACGCACGGGGCUCUGUAUUGGCCAAGGGCUGCGGCCACCGCACCCAUGCGGUUGGUCUGGUUCUUUUUGCAUGAUGAGGUAUUCAGACCCCCGUGCACCAAGGCCUCGGUGGUGCCACGUCAUUUCCGAUGUUGAGGUUCAACCGCAUAGGAAUUCCAUGCUUCUUUUGCUGGCGGAUGUAUGUGUGGCAGACGUCACUACCGGUCGUGUGCCGAGCACAGGCGUUCUUGCUACCGCGCAUUACUAUGCUGCAUCCUUAUCAACUUUCGCAUAAAGGCACAUUACGUGAUGGACAAACGCCCAAGCACGCAAACGCGCUUCGGGUGCGUCUUGGAUGCUGGGUACGUAUAAACUUCCGUGAUAUCCGCUGGUUACUGCUGAAGGAGUCUUCGGGGUCUCUUUUUGUGAGUUCAAGCAAAGUGUGCUGGACUGCAUUGCUCUGUUGUGGUAGCAGGGUGAGCCAAUGCCUUACAAAGCUAUACAUGUAGAUGGCGGCUGCGGAUGGCUUUGGAACCCCGCCAUGGCGAGGGAAUAGGGUCAUGGCAGCUGGUGAGUGGUCCCCGUCACCUCCUUGCCGGCUGCUGGGGGCCACCGCCAUGGACCCAUGGUGCACAGCAGUCACGGCUCGCGCUCGUGCACCAGCAGUAUCAUCCAGGCGGCCCCUGACGCAGCAGCCAAGUUGAUCGGGCUUCUGUAGUGCUGUGUGUCGUGUUGGCGUACGUAGCGCUGUGAGCCGUUCCACGGACACCCCACACGCAAAGACUGGGACUGUGAUAUGUUACUUGAGGACUCAUGCAUCCUUAUUGGCCUUACUUCAGUGGCAUGUGUCGCUGCCACACCGCCUUUGUUUCGAUGCUGUCGGCACACCUGGGCAAGGCCUCACUGUGAUGACGCUUGCGUAUAUAUUAUUCGGGGUGGAUAAGCGGAGUGAAAUUGUAGCUGGUAGGGGAGGCAUGAACUUCACAACGUACCCUUGUCAAUUUAGCGGCCGCCAAACCGCACCUCCUCAUCACGACCCGAUACACUCCCACGCGCUGCACCUAGCGUCCCUAGCACACACGCGCACAAAACCCGCCGCCAUUGCUGCCGGCGUCCUAUGAUUUGAGGGGCUCAGCCCCUUUUCCCGUGACCGGGGAACACUUGUCAAUUAAGCGCAUAGCAGCGCCCGAACCUCACUACUGUUUCAGAUGCAUGCGUGCCAGUGUACGCUUGUACCGUGCAUGUGAGUAGAAGAAGUUGCGGUUGCCGGCACCACAUGGGAGCUGGCAUGUCUGGAUUAACCACUCCGGGUCCUUCAUACGUGGUGAGACUGCCAAGGCGCGAUUGGUGUGUCGAGCUGGGGCCUAGGACGAGGUGUGCGAGUCUCGCCCUCACCUGUAGAGGGUUGCCAUGUGCGCGGGACCGGGUGGCGCGCAACUACGGGUAUCGUAGCAGAGGCGGGUAAGGAGCUGUGGAUGGGAGCACUGGCUGCUGUGGUCGCCUGUUGGGAGGGCCAUGGUUGCACACAGGGUCCACGUUGGCAUCGAAGUGGGGGGAGGGCAAGUCGGUGGCAGCAGGCCUGAUACAGUGCUCGUAUCUUCCAUCUACACUGUAGAAAUCUGCCCAAAAUCCGCCGAAGGCGGAGAAAAAUUGAUGGGUUUGGGUGCCACGCAUCUACGCAGUGUAGACGGUUUUGGCCGGUUUUGGCGCAAAAAUGGGGGAAGCGUAGACGUUUUGGGGGGCUUGGGGGCUUAAGUGUAGAUGCCGCGGUCAGGGUCAUCUACGCAUGUGUAGAUGCCGGGUGCCUGAGGGCAUCUACAAGAUACGAGCAUCUACAAGAUACGAGCCCUGAUACUAGCGAGGCGGAUUGUAAAAGCAACGUCCUAUCUUGCUACGGCGGUGGCACUGUCUGGCUUGGGUCGGCGUCGGGCGACAUGCAGACGGGGUUUGUGUUAAGUCGUGUUAUGUGACUUAUGUCGCGUAGAUCACGCGGGGCAGUGCAAGGCGUAUCUACUUCGGGAGGGGUGGAAGAAUAGCUGAUGAUGUCAUCCACUGCGUGCGGGUCUGUGCACAGGUGCACGUACGGGAUGACUUGCCUGCAUAGCCAGGAGCGCGAGGCCAGGGUGACCAAAUUGAGCAGUGAAUGGCAGAUGUGGGGUGCCAGCGGUCCUGGGCAGCGCGUGACGUGCCAGGUGUGGGGCGGGGGCCGGGUGGGGGCGGUCGGCCACUGCGCCCAUGCAGGGGAGGCCCAGGGGAGGCCCUUCCCUGACUGCGUCGACUGCGGCCGGCCUUGACAAAAAGGUGGCUUUCCCUCGCAAGGGAAAAGUGGGCUGAGCCCACGCCACGUCCGCCGUCUGAGGCCGAAGGUUCCGGAACUACCUCAUCUCCCGGACAUAGCCUGGGUCGGUUCGUACAGGGAGGUGAGGUAGACGCUUGCAGCCUCAGACUGGAGGCGUGGCGUGGGCUCAGCCCACUUUUCCCUGGCGAGGGGAACCACGUAUCUUGUCCUCAAUGCUCAAUCGCUGCCGUGCCUAUAGUCAACUAUAAGUAGCGGCUAGGGCGUCUCCACGGGGGCUAGAAACCGGUCUCAGUCAAGGUUGCUCCUGGGUAGGGUUUUGGCCACAUGGGUGGUGGGCGGCCGAGCAACCUUUCAGAGACCAAAAGGCCUCUGCUGGAACGUACUCAUCACGAAUAUUACGACCACCACACAAUCAAUGAUACGCUGCAGGGCAAACUACUGACGCGGGUGGAACUGUACAAGGGUGCUUCAGUUGCAGACCUGACGCAGCGCUUGUUUGGCGAGUUAAAUUGUUUUCAGUAUAGAGAGCAUGAUGAGUUACUAGCUGCAGUGCGUCAACCCUGACGCGUGGUCCAGGACUGGAUUUUGUCCUCAGAUCAUAGCACGCGGCGAGUAACCCAACGGUGCUAUAUCCCCAAAUGCGUGUACUUGCAAUACGAUACCUAUACAAAUUAUCAUAGUCAUUUCGUAUUCGAUAUCCGGGCGCCAGCCGGCACCUUUCCGGGUGACAAGUCACGUUCACUCGAGCCACGUUCGAAAUGUUAUGUUGUAUAUUCAAGGCGUUCGCGGGUAUUGGUACUGACGAGAAGCAAGAUGAUGCGUUGUGCGGUGGCCGCGCGGCCGACCCAUCGAGCACAGCGCAACCCGCAAGUGCAGGCCGCGCGAGUGCAUUAUCCAGCGCUUCGGGUGGUAGUACAAUGUGCAUGGAUACGGACUGUUGCAGCGCGGCGCCUAUAAUGACGGGGUUAGCAAGCAUCAAUGCGCUUUCGCAAAGGGCCUCUGCGGCAUGUAAGCUCUUAUCACUGACUGCGGGCGCUGGAAAUUGGUUCGAUCGCAUGCAAAGCGGACUGCUUGCGAUUGAGACGACGGUCGGCAUCGGCCCCGUCGGGUGAGUCAUCUGACGAAACCACGCUGAGCGUGUGCAACACAUUGCUAAAGCGGAAGAAACCCCGACGCUCGAUUGCUCCUGACUGGAUACAAACAGCGACUGUGCGGGUCCGUAUUCAUGUCCGUAUGUUAACACGCGACCAACACGAACGUGGAACCCCUGCCUGCAGGCUAGCCCUGUUCCACCACACAUCGGACGCCAGCCCGUUCGGUACGUCUCACACCGCCGGCUGGCUGUGCCGGAGCAAUGGGGGCGCAGUAUCAGCGGCUGGCGGCGGCGGCGGCCCCUCCGCCAGCUGCUGGCUGCCGCAGCUGCACGAGGAGCUGAGUGCGCUCAUGACGGCGGCGGGGAUGGCGCAUCAGGUGAGGGGAAGCCGAGGGGCGGGGAGUGUUGUGGGAUGUCAGAGUCUCAGAUGUCGGUUUUAGGCCUUUGAAGUGCCUGAUUGGUUGAGGUUUCACUGCUUGCUACCUACCUACCUCGCGCCUGUCACUGUGCAGCCUCCGGAGUCGCACGUGGUGGUGGUGAGCCCGGUGGCGUGCGAGGAGGCUUUGUCAGGGCUCCUGGGGUUGGGCUCGGGCGGGGUGGUGGUCACAGCCUCCACUGUCCCGCUCGUGCUGGUGCCCGGGGAGCAGCUGGCGCUUCCGGUGCUUGACCGCACCGGGCGUCUGGCGGCGGCGCUGCUGCUGGGUCUCGGGGACUUCCAGCCGCAUGCUGGUCCUGCUGCUGCUACCGGGGGUCUGCAGCUGACGUCAACAGACGUGGCGGAGCUUCAGCGGCUGGCGCAGUUCUUUGGUUACGGCAUGUUUGCGGACCCUGAACAUACAGCCUUCCUGACCAAGGUGGGUUAGUGUUUUACCCUCGCUCUUUUAGCCGCGCCAAACGUGCCGACUUAUGCUAUAAGGAUGCCGUUGCGCCGCGUGUUCCCAACUUACCACGAAGCCCGACUCCCCGUGUUUACAUCCGCGCUCCCGCCUCUCCCACCGCCACGCCUCCCUCCUCACUCCCGUCAGGUUGCCUCCCACCUGUCCUCCGCCUCCGUCAGCCUCAGCCUGCACGACCUGGUGUGUGCGGUGCUGGACGCGGUGCCCGACCUGCUGGCCGCAAAGACGGGACUCACACGGCCGCACGCGCUCAUGGCAGCAACCACCGCGCCGGCGCCACCAGCUGCUGUGACGGGUCGCGGCAGCUACGGCGGUGACUCCUUGCCGUUUUACCCCGGCACCACCACCGCUUCCGCUACGGCUGUCGGCUGCCCACCACCGCUGCUAACAUCGGCAGUGUCCCUGGCGUCGCCAUCCUCAGCAGCCACCGCCACCAGCACAGCGGCUGUUGUUUUCGUGCCGAAACCCGGCGUUUUCACACAGCCGCUGUCUGUCACUGCGCCCCCGCCUCAGCAUCACGGGCAAGGGCUGGACGGCGGCGGUGAGUGUGAUGACCCCCUGCUGCGGCUGAUGGACACGCUGACAUCGCCCCGCCUGGGCGCUGCUGCUGCUGCUGCUGCUGCUGCGGCGGCGGCGGCGGCGGCGGCGGUGGCUACGGGUGCGGGCUCCGGCCACACUGCGGCACACCACACGGCCUCGCCGUUUUCAGCGGCAGCAGUAGGGUCGCAGCCGCACGCCGGUCAUCACGCCAACGGCAGCCCGCACCCGGCAACAACGGCAAGCGUGAACACACGCAGCGGCGGCGGCAAGCUCCUCGAGGGCGGGGCGGGCGGAAUUCAGGGUCUGCUGGGCGAGGGUGUGGGACUCGGGAGUGCCUCGGACCUGCACCUACUGCUGGGCUCGCUCACGCCAGGCGGCGGCGGUGCAGAUGUAGGCGGUGCGUGGGGUGAGCGGCCGCAGCCGCCGCCGCGCCCCGCCCGAGUCAAGGCCGUGCGACUGCCGCUUUCCGACACCCUGUUGCAGGACACCCUCCGGUGAGGCACCGACUGCGACACUGGUGGCCACUGAGCCUGUCACUGAUCUGUUGUGCGGCAGGCGGCACGUCGGCAUGGCAUUCAGUAGCACAAUUGCCGGGCUUCCUGUCCGCCCCCCGCGCCAUCUCAGGUCGGCGUCGCUGUCCACAAGCACGCCCGGGCCGACAUCCUACGCCUCCGGUUCUACCUCGCUCAACAUGCCGGCUUGGCCAUCUGCCCCGCUGCCGCCGCACCUGCCCCGCGCUCGGCCGCCCGCAGCAGUAGCCGCACCGGUGGUGGGCGGUUUCAACAAGGGCAACACUGCUGCUUGGCCACAAGUGCCCCCGGCUGCCUCUGGGCCUCUGGGCACAGUCAGCAGCGCCGGAGCUGCUGCCGUCGGCAGGCUCCCGCGGUCGUCGCUGCCAGCAGUCGUGGUCAAGGUGGUGUCCGAUGCGAGCAGCCACGUGCUCUGUGAGUCGCAGCCGCCGCGGGAUGUCCGCAUGUGCGGAAACGCCCUCGCAGGGCUACUGGCAGCAGCAAGUGGUGCUGGCGCCACGGCGCCACUGCAAGCGCCUGGAGCCAAGUCCAGUGCUUCAGGGCAGCAGCAGCACCAGCUCUCGGUGUCGCCUGGCACCCUACUGCUCUGUGUUGAGGCCGCUCCCACCCUUGCUUCUGCUCCGGCGUCUUCGGCUGAGACCGGCGCGUGGGGCGGCGGGCCGCUGCUGGCUCCGGCCCCCGCCCCGCCGCUGUCCUGUGCCUCCACCGCGGACGCAUCCGCCCUGCCGCCCAGCACGGCCCUGCUCAGCUCCCUGGCUAGCGGGCUGGGCGGCGGCGCAGACGGCGGCCGCAGCCUGCUGCCGGGCGGUGGGUCUGCAGCGUCCACGUGGGGCCACGGCUACGGCUACAGCUGCAGCAACCUGAGCGGCUGCCUGAGGCCGUCCGCCGGGGCCCCACCGCCAGCGGCUGGGGGCGGCUACGGACUCCAGCAUUCAGGACAUGCCCAGCAGCAGCACCAGCAGCAGGCGCGAGCCUCUCUGUGCCCCGGCCCCGGUCAGCUGGGCGUGUACGUGGUGUUUGCGGAGGUGCUGCCGCGCGGGCUGCUGGAGCUGGCGGCCAGGGAGCUGGCGGCAGUCAUGCCGGUGAGGAGGAGCGCAGGGCCGCGGGGCCCGGCAGGGCGGAGCGGCGGAGGGUGUACGAUGUGGAUGUCUGUACAUACGAGGGGCAACUGGCCAUUGGUUGGGGCAAAUGUGUAGGAUGCAAACCCCCAAAGUUCGUAAACCCAUGCUGAUGUCUGCCUCCUCUUCACUCCUUAGAUCAUCUUCAGCACGUUCCGUGAGUCCCUCGCCGCCUCCGCCACCGCUGCUGCCGUAACUGCCGCCGCCACCACUACUGCGACCAGCUGCUUCACUGGCGGCGGCGCGACCUCACCGCUGCCAGAUCCGCUGCUGCACGACACCAUGGCUGCCGCCCGCUGUCACGGAGCGCCCGCCGCCCAGCUGGCGGCGGACUGGCAGGCGCUGCACUGCCAGCUCACAGGACAGCCGGUGCCGCCGCCGCCGCCGCCGCCGCCGCGGAUGCCCGUCCCGCUGGGACUGCCAUCAUCAGCAGCCGCGCCAGCGGUGACCAGCGGCUGUGGCCUAGCGCGCGCCUCCCCCGCAACCGCCGCCGGCAUCAUGACGCCGCCGCCGCAGCCAGCACACCACCAGCUGCCGGUGUCCUGUCCCAGUGGCAACAACGUGCUGGCGGCGGCGGCGGCGGCGGCGGCGGCGGCCAACGGCUCCGUGCUGUCCACCGUGUCCGAGGACGGGCUGGCGGCGCCAGCGGCGGCUGCAGCGGCGGCAGUGGCGGACAGUGACGUGGACACAUCAGAGCUGUUGGAUGCAGUGCAGUCGGCGGCGGCGCCGUCUCUGCCGCCUUCUGCGGCGCCCAUCGUCGCGCACAGCAGUGACCCGCUGGUACGGCGCCUGAGCCUGAGCCGCGCCAUCAUGGGCGGCGGUGGCGGCGGGACCAACAGCGCCGCGGCGGCCUUGCGCUGCCCCGUCAGUCCAGGCAGCCGCUCGGCCUCUGGCAAUCCUAGCGCUGCCGACAACCGCGCGGCGAGCGGCGGCAGCAGCCGCCACCGCCGCAGCAGCUUGUGGGGAGCCCCGCCGGCUCAGUCGCAACUCCAGCCUCCGUUGCAGCGGCACCGGGCCAGUGGCACGCACGUGGCGGCAGCCGCUGUGUUCCCCGAGGCAGGAGGGGACGACCUUGCUAUCCCCCGGGUGGCUGGAGACCGGUCGCCAGCCGCGGCCGACUGGGGCCUGGCUGGCGGUGCCGGUGCUGGGGCUGCACGGCCCGCCAGCAGCAGCAUCCGCCGCCAUGCAGCACCAAGCAGUCCCAGCGGUGCUGCUGUGGCAGCGAACAGCCUGGGCCUCGUGCGGCGCGGCAGUGGCCUGAUGGAGGCCCUGCAACGCAAGCUGCGUGGCGGCAGUAGCGGGCAGCAGCAGCAGCGUGCAGCGCCUUCCUCGCCGCCUGCCGCACUGCCUGUGUUACCUGCAGUCCAACAGAGCCAUCCGCAGCUGCACGUGAGUCGGACCAGCCUGGCCCUGGAUGCAUCAGUGCGCUCGCAGCAGCAGCAGCAGCCGGAUGCUCCAGCAGCAGCAUGUGCUGGAGCCACACCGGCGGGCAGCAACAGCAGCAGCCUCCAACCCGGUUGUGGCCGUGUUGCAGCGGCAGUGGCAUUGGCAGCAGCUGCAGGCUCUGGAGCCGGCAGCCUGAAUCUCCGCGCUGGAACCGGCACUGCUGGCGCCGGCGCCGGCCGAUCGGCUCCCCGCCGCAGCCGGACCUCCCAGGGUCUCAACAGCGGCGGGCACGGCACAGCGGCGCCCCACUCACUCUUCCUGGUGUCUCCUGGGUCCGCCGCAUCUGCCUUCAGCCGCUCCGGCCACCAAGGCAAUGCGCUGCGCCGGCGCUCCACCCUCAGCGCCAUGCUGCCCAGCCUGCAACACAUUCACCUGGUGGCCCAGCAGCAGCAGCUGCAGCAGAGGGCGCUGCUGGCGUCAAGUCCGGCGCUGUUCCUGGAGCAGGCGGCGGAGGUGGAGGCCGCAGUGGCGCCGCCGCCCACUGAGGCUCUGCUGGCGGCCAUGCGGCGGCGGCUGUCCACCGCCCUCACUUCGCACGAGGAGGGACAGCAGGCAAAGUGAGCGGGCUGGUAGGGGGAGCGGAGGUGCUUUCCGGGGUGUGCAACAGUGCAGCGUGCGGUAUGUAUGCUUGCGGCUGCUGAAUCGUAUGGCGUGUGCGCGGCUGGCGCCUGCAUCUAUGCUGGUGAAGGCUGAGUGUUUGCUCUUGUUCCUGCUACCCUGCACGCUGACAGGGCUGCUGUGAGUCAAGAUAUUGCGGCGUUGGAGCUGUUGGAGAUGCUGGGUAAGUCCACAAGGAGGCAGGUCGCAUUGUCACAGGCACGCAGCAACAGGGAGACGGCAGUCUCCUCUAGCGCUCCAGUAUGGCAGUUCGUGGCCCCUGCGACCAAAGCGGAUCGCCCUACCCGACAAACCCUCCUCACGCUCUGUAGCUAAACCUCACGAUGCUCAUCAAUCCGGAGUAACCAGUACCCUCUUGCAUUCGCACGUGCCUCGUCAGGCCACGGCGGCCAGGGUGUGGUGUUCCGCGGCACGCUGCACGGGCUAGAGGUGGCGGUCAAGGUGCUGGAGCAGAAGUCCCCCACGGCCGCAAAGGACAACUGCAAAGACAACCAGGCAGUGGCAGCGGAUGCAGGCGCCGAUGCCGCCGGAAAGGAAGGCGCGGAGGCAGGGGCGGAGGUGGAAGCGGAGGGUGUCGCAAGCAAGGAGGAGGAGGAGCUGGCACGCACGGUGAGUGGCUGGGGGCAGCAGGCUGUCAAGUGUGUGAAUGACAGUCAUGCAGUACGCGCCCACGUGUCGCAUGCAUGUGUGUUCACCGCGUGCUCGUCCGACUUUUCUCCCAAAUCAGCAUGUAGCCCACCGCCCACUCUUACCGCCCACUCUUACCGCCCCUCCUGCCCCCCCUUCCUGAACUAAUCAUGAAUGUAACCCCCCGCUGUCUCUGCUCAGGCCAAGCGCAGUGCUAUGGAGCUGGCGGUGGCCAGUGUGGUCAGGUGGGGGCAGGGGAUAGGGGGCGCGGCGGGAGGGCCCUGCCCUGCAGGAAGACGAAGACCUGCGAAGUUGUGGGUGCGAGAAGGGAGGCUAACAGUACGGUACAGCUGCCCCCGUAUCUACAGGAAGUCCUAGCCCCAGCACUGCUGCUCUCAUGCCCCGCCGCGUCGUCACACGGCCCCCACCCGCCAUGCCUUCACUGCCCCCGUGUGUGCCGUGCCACCCCCUGCCCGCAGCCACCCCUACAUCGUGCAGGUGUACGCAGCCUUCAGCGACGUGGCGGUGGUGCGGCACCGCGACGCCGCCGCAGAGGCCGUGCUGCGCCUGUGCGCGGCAGACGACCUGCGUGCAGUGGGCAUUGCGCCGGGUGAGCGCCGGGCGCCUCGCUACCCCAGCGCUGUGUGCGCAGUUCCCACCCAUGAAUGCACAGCUGCUGAUGGAGCAUUGCGGUCGUAUCACGAUCAUUAGGGCAGUAAUGUUUAACUGGCAGUAAUACGCAGCGCAACUUUGAACCGGUGUGUCGGGUGUCAAUGUGAACGUCCAUGCCCCUUCGCCCACCCGCCGCCCUCCACCCACCUGACAGACCCCAUCAACCAGGUCCUGUGCCUCGAGGUGCGUGUGCGCGGUACACCCGGCCCCAGCGAUGCACAGGCUGCUGGCGCACAUACAUUGUGGCGGCUUUUAGGGAGACCGGUGGAAGGCUUGCACUGUUGCAAUCCGCAUCCCUUGUGCUAAUGCCGGCCCGCACGUGCCUACCUGUCACAGCGAGUUUCCGUCUCUAGCCCGAACCUUUCCAGUUUGCUUAUAACCUCGCAAUCCGCCGUGGUGCAUGCGUGUUCCUUUGCAGUUUUGCGACUCGGGCUCCCUGGCAAGCAAGGUGCGCGCCGGCGCGUUCCACCAGCCGUGCGCCUCCAGCGCCGAGCAGGGCGCCAUGUGGCCGGCGCUGGUGCCCCUGUACACGAGCCUGCUGGAGGUGGCGCUGGCGCUGCGGCACAUGCACUCCAAGCGCCUGGUGCACUGCGACGUCAAGGCCGCCAACGUGCUGCUCAAGAGCUCGGCAAGGGACCCCCGCGGCUGGAGCUGCAAGCUGAGCGACUUUGGAUGGUGCGUGCGCGCGUGCGCAUAUGAUCAUACAAUGAUGCAGCACCACCGCUGUGUGGGCAGGGCGGCAGGCGUGGUGACGGUUGACUGCCGCAAGCGUAUGUUUAAGUUGCUUGGGUGCAAGUGCUGUGUGCUGCCCUGCAAUGGGCCUCGCCUCUUGUCUGCAAUACCCACCCAGUCAUCUGUACCGCCUCUGCCACGUGCUAACACCCCAUGGCCGGCCAUGUGCGCCGCUCGCUUGCUCCCUGCCCCGCAGCGUGCGUAUCCUGAACGAGGAGGGGCCGGACGGGCAGCCCGGCUUCCGGUCCGCGCACCCGCACGGCACCGUGCCAUACAUGCCACCUGGUGAGCGGGUGCGGAUGGACGCAGCCGUCAUCAUCAUGGGAACCCGCCUACCUUGUCCCGCGCUGCGCCAGCUGCCAGCUGCCAGCUGCCUGUUGCGCAGCGCGCGCAGGUCUUGCGUGCGCUUCUUGCGCAUGAGGGCCAUCACCUCAGCAGAACACCUGCAAUCGGGCUUGCCUGACAUUUUGCUUGGCCCGCUGCUGCGUACGUCAACCUCCUGCCUGCCGCGAACAGAGUGCUUCCUGGGCGCCCGCAUGCUGCUGGGCACCUCAGUGGACGUGUACGGUGAGUGCGACUGGGAACAGCUGCAUGCAUGUGUAUGUGGUGCAUGGGGCCGAUUGAUGUGGAGUAGCAGCCUCAUAGCGCCAGCCUGGUUAGCCCACUGCGCUCUUGGCUAACCAGCUGUUGCGGUUGCUGCUGCCUGUGUGCAUGGCUAUCGACGGUGCCUGUACCCCUGACAGCGUUUGGAGUGCUGAUGUGGUGAGUGCGCAGGCAGACACGCGGUGUCAUUUCCGCGCCUGACCUUCUGUACUGCUUUGCUUUGCUUGUCAGCUCUGUUGCUGUGCUUUUCCUGUUGACGUACGCACACGGUCUGUUCUCAGUACCAGCUCUGCCUUGCCUACUUAGUGCUGUCGCUGCUGACGUGGCUAUCGCUGCUGUCUGUUGUGUAAGGGCCACCCCUCUGACCUACCUCCUGCUGCGUGCCUGCUGCCUCGGUCUGCAGGGAGCUCCUGUACGCACGGACGCCUUUCAAGGGCAUGGAGAAGAAGGCAAGCCAUGGCGCGCGCGUGCAUUCCUGGCCAUCAGUGGUCUUACCAGGCGGGGUCUCACUACUACCGUGCUGGACUCUUUUCCUGCCUCACCUGCCGCCCGCUGCCCCCCAUCCACCACAGGACAUCGCCUUCCAGGUGGUCCACGCCGGCCUGCGCCCCGCCUUCCAGCCCCUGGCGCCGCCCGCCUACGUGCACCUGGCGGAGUGCUGCAUGGCGGCGCAGCCCCGGGCCAGGCCCACUGCGCUGGCGCUGGUGGCGGAGUUGCAGCAGCUGCUGGCGGAGGCGGUGGAGGCGGAGGGCGGCGGAGGGCGCGGCGUCUCCGUGGCGCUUGCCAUGCAGCUGUCUGCUGUGAGCUAGACUGAACGGUGGAAUCAUGUAGGUUACGCUGCAGGAUCCGGAGUAGUAGACCAGUGCCUAUCUACACAUGCAGUACUGUAGUAUGAUGGGCACUGCGGCAAGGCGGAGCACAUUGCUACUGUUGCGCUAGCUGUUUGUGAUGACAGCACCACUCGCUCAUUCGGAACGCGACUGCCCGCCACGGUACCUAGCACAUUGGGUGGUGCUCGGAUUCUCGCAAGCAAUGCGUGAGGCACGCUCAUGCAUCGAAGAAGCUAAGAGAUGCAUCGUGUUUGGGGCAGCAGUACAAAGACGACGUGACGUGCUUGUGUUGCAUAUCGAGUGCGCUACGCUUGCCUAGUGUCGGUCAGAUAAGACAGCGGCAGUACGGUGUGCGCGUGGGGAGCGCCGGAGAGCAUGCCUAGCUCAGCGCAAGCUCGCUGUUCUUCACAGCUUAAUUAUUGCGCAGUUAUCACAUGUACAGUUUAUUGUUAGUCUAUUGCGAAGUUAAGUUCUUCUGUUGAUGCUUUGCAACACGCGGAACAGUAUGGUGAGUGGCCAAGGCCCCAGGGGCUUGGGGUGUCGGGUUUGAAUGGGACCUCGAGCAUUGUCAUUCAUGCUGCAGUACCUCCAACUGCUAAGUAUGCAGUCUAUGGUGUGGUGCCAUUUGCAGACUUCGUGGGAAUGAGGGCGGAGCCAUUGGAUGCAUGUACUGGGGCUGGGGUCGGGGGCAACCAAGGGUAUACUGUCAUGGUGGAUGUUGUCAUGGUUGCGCGGGGCAUCGCCCAAAUGGCCCAAAUUGCGUAAUUCAGAACAGUAGGAUAGCAGGGUGUGUGAAUAUUUGUAAAAUAAUCAACAUGUGUGUGUGUGAGUUGGUGUGUGUGUCUGUGUGCAUGCGUGCGUGCGUGUGAGUGAGAGAGGAUACAUGAUGGAUAAAGUAUGCCAUGUGGCACGAGUGGGAGAGCGUGUGUGUGCAUCGUAUGUCGUAGUGAAGCGGGCACAGGGGCUAAUGGAACAGAACAAACCGCAGAUGUAGGGUGUGUUACAGAUCACAGCAAAGACUGAGUGGGUCAGCGGUGUGGGUCAGGGGAUCCCCUGGUGUGGGUGUUACGGCACUGUGCGUAUGUGCAGGGGUGUGCAUCCCCGCGUAUGUGCGCGUCAAUUUAUGUACACUUGCGCAGAUUUGGGGUAUCGGGUGCAAAGCACGUGCUCGGCCGGUCGACUCGUAUGUAUAACUUUCUCUGCUUAGGGUCUAGCAAGGGACGAGCCCUGCUGCCCCCAUGCUGUACUGCUGCUGCUGAUAAGGAUAUCACAAGGUGUGCAUCUUGGAGCCGUCCUUGUUGGCAGGCGCCGUGACUCCGUGAGGCCGUGUGGGUCUGGUUACCUCGGCUCCUUUGGGAAGUGCGGGCUGUCUCCCUCCCUCCCGCGGAAGCCCCGAUUGGCGAUUGCUCACACGAACCAAAUCCUGGGCGGAGGACUAUCCAGGGGAUUCGUAUUCUAGUGUCAGGGUCAGGAGGCGUUAGCAACGGAUUAGGUGCCUGGCUUGCGGUCAAGGCCGGACAGAACCAUGUAACCCACUGCCAUGCCCCCCUGUGCUUGUCACGAUCACUUUAGCAGGCUUCAGCUUCACACCGUACCCUGCAAUCGCAAGGUGGAGGGGUCGGGCAAAUUCCUGGGGUACGGGGCAAAAAGGCACAGGCGAGCUUCGCACUCAAAUAGCGUCCUUCAGUAGACUGCGUGCCCUGACCAGUGACCACACACCUACUACAGUGCCCUCCACGGGUGCGACAUGCCCCCACGGUGUCAGGGCCAUUCGUGGCUCUCGCCAGCACGCAUCACCGACCCAUGCAAACCGUGCAAACGGCACGCGGCCCGGCAUGUGCAAUGAGCUAGCAUGGAUAUCAGGAUCUGGUGGAUUCCUCUGAGCAGGCCGACGCAACCAUUUGGAAGGGCACUGUGGAUCUAGGUGGUACCGCUCGAGCGAGGCGAGCAAAGCCCAGAUCGGCCCCAGGCGCGUGUACCCUGGCGUACCCCGCGCCAACCGUACGUGGCGCCAACCGCUCAUAGGUAAAUGAAACGCCAGGACAUAGCAAAAGUUUCAAGAUUGACAAGCGCGAGAUUUUCUUCGCUGCUGUCCACCCUAUGGCUCGGUCGAAGGGAGGCGCAGGAGCAGCGGCAGCGGCAGUGUGAGGAGCUGACAGCGGCGGCCAUGGCCAAGCAGCGCGAACUGGAGGGCCUGACGGCCGCGUGUGAACGUCAGCGGCAGGAGUACACGGAAAAGGAGGAGCUGAUCGCGGCCAUGGAGGAGUACGUCACCCAGAAACAGACCAGUGGCAUGGCACUCCUCCGACAGCUCCAGACCGAUACGUCCAGUGCAGAGCAACAGCUGCAGCAGCUGCGCGGCCAGGUCGCGGCCGAGGCGCAGCGUCACCGGGAGGCGCAGGAGCAGCGGCAGCGGCAGUGUGAGAAGCCGCGCAACCUGAUGGAGCAGCUGCCGUUGCCGCAACAAAAGCCGUAUAGGCCCCCGCUCUUUUCCCGAUUCCUAUACCCUGAGGACCUGGAGGAGAUGUAGGAGCACUACUAGGCCUGACGGUGGUGGGUGACGGACGCUCAGUGGUGGGCCUGACGGGCGCUCAGUGGCAGUGUUGGGUACAGUUUGCUUGCGCCGCGAAAUGUGUGAGGCUGGGUGAUGCGUGCUGGGUGAGGCUGGGUGAUGCGUCGGAUGUGCAGGUGGAGAAGUAGGUGAAAUUUAACAAUGAUAUGCGCCAAGGGACAUGGGCGCUGAGGGAGGCUGGGUGAUGGGUGGUGCUGGGUGAUGCUGGGUGACGCUGGGUGAUGCGUGCUGGGUGAUCGUGCUGUCAACGAAGCAGCUUAGUUUCGCGGGUAACUGCGGGUAACUGUUUACAACUACCAGGUGCUCGCCACGCGAGGCGCAAUCUCACAAGUUAAAAGAGGUCUGGCUGACUCAUUGAGAGAAUUAUAUAAUUGUGAGCAAGCGCGAAAGUCUGACCGCAAACCCGGCUUGGCCUCGUGGUCUGCGCGCUCCCCUAAUCCCCUAAAGUCUUGCGACCGCGCAUUCUCAAUAUAUAUGAGUAUCAUACUCGGCGACGUACUGCCACACGGCGCCAAAAUGCAGCCACACUUGGAGCUCGCCGACGACGUUCUGGACCGUAUCUUCUUGCACCUGUCUCCAAAUGAGCUGUCGUCCAGUAUCCGGCUUCUGAGCAAGAGCUGGGCUGCCCGAUACGCAUAUAUGACCCACAUCAGCCUACGUGUCGCGGUGCCGCGCCAUGCCUUCCGCUGGCGCUUCACUGUCGCCAUUGCAGCUGCCCUGCCGCUGCGCACCCGCCGCGAGCUCCUGUGCGCCACGGCUGCCUCCGGGGACGUCUCCAACCUAGAGCAUGCGCUGGAGGUGACGGGGCUGGACCUGGGUGCCGCCGCCACCGCCACUGCCCUGCUGGCCGCGGCAGCUUGCGCGGAGCCGCCUGGCGGCAUGGCGGUGACGGCGUUCCUGCUGCACCGGAUGGGCCGCAGCCAGCAGCACCAGCAGGACACGCGGUCAGGGUGGCUGGGACAGCUGUGUCAGAGGUGUCACGCCUGGUGCAGUUCUGGCUCGAAAGCAUCACUGGUUGAGGUGGUCGAGCCCGCCCUGUGCGCGGCGGCGGCGGCAGGAUGGAAGGAGUCGUGCGCGCUGCUUCUGGGCCGGCUCAUGGGAGGUGGGGCCGGCCAGUGCAGCUCAGCGGACACGGAGGGUCAUGGAGAGGAGCUGAUCGAGGCGGAGACGUCCGCACAGAUUCCAGACAUAGGCCGCCGCCAGCAGCAACCGCUCGUGCUGCCGACAACAAUAGCACUUAGUCGGCACAUUGGGAAGGCAGUGCUGGCGGCGCUGCGAGGCGGCCACCUGCCGCUGGCGGCGUUGCUGCAGGAGCAACAGCACCAGCUGCACCAGGGGCGCCGGCCGCAGCUGCAGAGGCUUCAGUCUCAGGCCGCAAUGGUGGAGGUCGCUGCUAACACUGCUGCCGCAAGCGGGGCGGCUGCAGGUGACGGCGCGAUGGCAGCAACAACCGGUGACGAGUGGGCGGCGCUGCUGGAGGCUGCGGCGGCUGGCCUUGCGCUGCGGCCGCUGCAGCUCGUGGUCCUGUGCGGCGGCGACCUGCGCAAAGCUACAGCGUGGGUGCAGGAGCAAACCGCCCAGAUGACAGAUAGCGAGCUAGCCGCGGCCGCAGCUGCAGCGGCGGCGGCACACACACGCCAGCUGGCUACCUGGCAGCUAUCAGCUGUGGUGUCUGCGGCUGCGGGCAGCCUGCAGGCUGUGGGGUCAUGGGCUGACAAGCUGGACUGGCUGACGACAGAGCCGCCGCGGGGCCUAGGCUUCCCGCGCCCUGCUGCUGCAGCGGUAGCAGUCGUGGCGUCUGCAGGCAGCGGGAUGGAGGCGGCUGAGGUGGCGCUGCAGCGGCUGCAGUGGCUGCGUGGUGCUGGAUAUCCACUCGAUCCCAGGGUAGUAGUGGGGGCUGCAGCAAGGCGUAGUGAUUUGCGCCUACUGGAGGCAUUGCUGCGAGACCCGAGCGGACAUGUGCGCCCGGGCCGGGAGGCGGCGUACGCGGCGGCGGCUGCAGCCGCCAGGACUGCAGUGCUACCGCCACCAGCGGAUGCUACUGAUGCUGUUGGUGAGAUGGAAGGCGCGUAUGGCCACGGGCAGGUGGCUUGUGGCAUGAGCAAAGUGAGUGGCGUGCCGGCACUGCGGCUGCUGCACAAGUACGGUUGUGCCAUUGAGCCGUACGGCACCCUGCUGGUGGCGGCGGAGUCUGGCGACCUGGCCGCGGUGCGGUGGCUGCUAACGGGCCAGCAGGACGAGCAGGAGGCCCCAGAGGAGGGCGGCGAGCACAAUAGGGGCGGUGCCACAACUACCUCCCCGGUAGCGUCGCAAGUCCGGCUGGACGCGGAGGUGAUGGGCGCUGCGGCGAGCUCAGGUGCGUGAGGGUCCGAGACGUACCGUAGUGUAAUCUGCCAGAAUGUGCCAAGCAACCACCACCAUUCUUGAGCUGCUCCCCUGACGGCUGACACGCUUGCCCCGCCACCCGCCAGGCCACGUGCCGCUCAUGUCCUGGCUGCUGCGCCGCCGCGGCUGCGCCAUGGACAGAGACACCUUCCGUCGUUGCGCCGCGGGCGGCAGUGUAGCGGCGCUGCGGUGGCUGGCGGCGGCUGGCUGUGACAUUGGGGUGAGCAUCCGCACCAGGAAAGGCUGGGAGCAACGGCAGACUGCCGCGCGCGAUCCCGGGUACUCUGUGUUUGCAGUUGCGGAUGCACAUACGCCCCCUCUUGCUGCGGCUGCCCGCGCAGGACGACGGUGGUGCCUACGCCGCCGCCGCCGGCCAGGGUGACCGCCUGGUGGCCGCCGCCCUGCAGCAGCUGGGCUGCCGUAGGCCUGCAGGCGCCGAAGGGGCGAACACCGCCACGACGACAGGCUAUGCCAGGAGCGGGGGCAUGCGCCUCAGUGGGGGCGCAGGGGGCUACGGCGUGCGGCCUCCCUCUCUGGCCUAGAUCGGCACAUAAGGUUAUGGGUUGUAGCAACUAGGCGAUUUUCGUGCUCGUCAGCAGCUCGUGGCUUCCCUUCGCUCGCCCCGCGCAGAGUGGUGAGGCGCGUCGCCGGCGGCGUAUGUAGGACCUCUACGCGUGCCCCUUCGCGCGGGCCUUUGCCUGCCUGGCAACAAUGCGUAUCCGCAUUGGGCUGUAGGCCUGAGGCCUUCGUAAACAGUUUGUUUACCCUGCAAAUACUAGCUCUGGCAUGUGUAGAAGACUCGAGUGGAUGCGUAGCACCAAUGCUGUGACACGUUGCUCAAGGUGGAACGUGUUAGCUUCAGCUUUAACGCUUUAGCUUGCAGUUCCUGGUGGCUGUUGGAUACAACACGGUGUUUGAGCAUGUAUUCCCGCCGGCCCGGAGUGUGCACCAAGUUGGUAGAACCGGUUAAGACCCAGAACCAGUUCAGAGCCGCCCACAUGCUAGGUGUGGCGUACGUGCAGAGCCAGAGCGCACAACCGAAGCGCGCCUGAUUCACCACAAAGACACAAGUAACAUGCAGCUUUGGUACAACUGUCAAAACAUGCCCUGAAUGUCACAGACGUAUAAUAACAAGGAGGUGGCUGCCUUAGGGAGGCAGGAAAAGGGCUGAGCCCUCCCCUCCCGGGUCGUUAUCAACCCAGCCACCUUGACGCGGGCGCCUACUAAGCACACGCCUCUAUGUUGGGGGCCUUUGGCAUCCCCGCAAAUCCGGACGUGGCCGGUUGGGUGGGGUGCACAGUCCGUGCUAACCCGCAGCUAACAAACUAGUCACGUCACUCGCCGCCAAUCGACACGUGCACCCUCAGCCCCACGCGCCGUUCAGGCUCUCAGCCCGGCCCCGCCGCCGCCGGCGGCCAUGGCGGCCGCUGCAGCUUGGUCGGCCGCUCGAAGCCCAUCAGCUUCAGCAGGAGGAGCACACGGAUCACUUUGGCGGCACAGCAGCCGCCUUCCGUCAGCCAGCCAUGGGCGCGACCGGCCACAGCUUUUACCGUCGGUUACGAGGUAACAUGUGAAUUCGCAACUUGCGCUACUGACUGCCUACUCUCGUGCCGCCUGCAAGCCCACUCCGCCUUCCGCUCUGGUCUGCGUACGCAUUAGUUCCGCAACACUCGUCAUUAAGCUACCUAGGCCACUUUCGGCUCGCUCGACAUCAGUCAACCAUCCGCCGUCAUUGCAUCGGCAGGCCUCUGUCGAGCCUGGUUAUGCAAUUGAUCCCGCAAAACGGAACUUACUGACAAGUGUUGUGCUGCGCAGGAUGGCCAAGGAAAGGGUCCCGGGGGGGGGGGGUCAGUCUGUCUGGGACGCGCAGGCUGGGGGUGGUUUCGUGCCACCAAUAUGCACAUGCAAACUCCGGUCUGGCGCUGGACAUGAGCGAUUGACUCAACCAAUUUAACCAAUACAUCUGUUGCUUAGUGAAGUCUGCCUGUUGUGCCGACACGCAGCACUUGUGAAGAAGCACCCGCAAAUAGACAAGAAGACCGCGCGAGCGUGCUGCUUACUUCAUUGCUGCAUAUACUGUACGUAGCAUUGCUGUGUAUACAUACAGGAGCCCUUACAGGAGUCCUCGACAGUUUGAGGAAAGCAAACUGCCUGUUUCGAAACGAGUAUGAGCACGAGGCAGUAGAGGCGCAUAGUCGAAAGCCAUGCGGACCGUCGUUGCUUGGCAGGAGACACCUGUAAGUCUGGGCGGGUAGUUCCACUGCGAAGGCCAUGUUGCCUUCGCGCGGCCCAGAGCCGGCCUCGGCUGACCCUAAGCCUGCCGCUUGAUCGCAGCCCGAAAAGGACGGCGUACGCAACGUCUGCUACGACCUCUGCUUUAAGCCAGGUGCGGAGGAAAAGCCAACAUGCCGGACCGUCAACGCGACCGACCUUGCUGGGAACGGGAUGUUGACCACGGCUUCAUACCCUAUUACAAUUGCAGAUGGCUCGCAAGUUGUUGCGGGCAUUGGGAACCGUGUGCUGGUCUACGAUGCUGCGGAUGGCGACCUUCUGCACGCGUUGAAGGGCCACAAGGUCAGUGGCCUGUCAUGUCCACCCAUCACAUAUUUGAGCUGUACGUAAAGCGAAUAACCGGGUCUCUGGGCACUGCAGGACUCGAUUUACUGCGUCGCGUAUGCCCAGAACGGAAAGCGCUUUGCAUCGGGAGGCGCGGAUAAGACGGUCAUCAUCUGGACAAGCAAGGUGAGUGGAACCAGAAGGUGGGGGUGGGGGUGGGGGGCCUGGGGGUCAGGGAGGCAGCUGGGCUCCCGCGUGCGGUGUUGCCUAGACUCAGUGCGCGUGUGGAUGUGUAUGCUGAGUCUGAACCUGCUUCCGGGCCUCUUAUCACACAAACAGGCGGAGGGCAUUCUGAAAUAUACGCACAACGAUGCGAUUCAGUGCCUGUCUUACAACCCAGUCACCCAGCAGCUGGCCAGUGCCACCGGCUCGGAUGUGGGCCUGUGGUCACCGGAGCAGAAGUCUGUGGCGAAGCACAAGGUGUGGCACUUAGAGCUGUGGCAUCUGCUUGUCACAGUGCGAGCGGGGAAUGAGCUGGGGAUACAGUUUGAGGUGCAGGGGCUUGGGGCAGGCGGCUCAGGACAGCCUGGAAACGGCAGAGUGCGGCAUUGGGGCGGAACAGCGCUUUGCCGCGACUCGCUGGUGGGGCGGAAUUUACCAGCCACACAUGGAGAGGGCCCUCAACCUCUGGCCCCAUCCUUGGCCGGAGCACAAGCUCAGCGUGGAGGCGCCGUGUCUGGGCGCAGAGCCAGCUCGCGUAGAGACGGGAAUUGACGGAGGCGCCGUGUCUGGGCGCAGCAUGCCAGCUCGCGUAGAGACGGGAAUUGACGGAGCAGCAGCCCCCCCACCAGUGGGGGCGUACCCGCAGAGCUGUCUGCGCGGUCUCGGGCAGUCACGGCCAGACCGUCUGUGGCAGUAGUGGCCGCGCUGGUGUACCCGAGUUUGCCUUGAGUGCGAUGCUCAGCUCGCAUGAGCCUGUGUACCUGCCGCACUCUGCACCUCGCUGCAUUCCUUGGGACCCUUACCGCUGGGAAUCAUGCUACAACCACAUGCACAGGUGGCCUCGCGCAUCUGCUCCAUCUCGUGGACUGCGGACGGCGCCUACCUGGCGCUGGGCUGCUUUGACGGUGUGAUCAGCAUUCGCGACAAGGGCGGCAGCGAGAAGCACCGCAUUGAGACGGGGCCGUCGCCGGUGUGGAGCAUCUGCUGGAACCCCGUGGUGCGUGUGCGUGCGUGUGUGUGUGUGUCUGUGUGUGUGUGUGUGUGUGUGUGUGUGUGUGUGUGUGUGUGUAUGUGUGUGUGUGUGUGUGUGUGUGUGUGUGUCUGUGUGUCUGUGUGGAGGGCGAUUGGGGCUGUCCUCGGGGAGGACCGGCCGCACGUGAAUGGCGCAGGAGGGCGCAUUGCGGUUGCAAUUGGGCAUUCCCCAAGCUGCUGAGGGUACGAGCGUAGGGUCGGGGCAACAUCAGCGCAAGCAGUGAGGGUGGGAAAGCGGUGUAGCAGCAUGGAAAUGCAGCGAAGGGCUAAGUUUGCAGAAUGGCAGCUCAGCGGGCGGAUCUGACGGCCGUGCAUUGCUUUGCUGCAGGAGACCAACGUGCUGUGCGCGGGUUGCUUUGACGGCGUGCUCAAGUUCUACAUGAUGAGCGGUCAGCAGAAGAGCAAGGACCGCGAGCUGGCGUUCGACCCGCUGUGCGUUUCCUACUUCAGCAGCGGCGAGUACAUCACCGUCAGUGGCACGGACAAGUAAGAUAGUCUGUUGUGCGGACGGCGAACGCAACAAUUAUAAGUGGUGUGGUGCAGGCGACCGGGGCGGCUCAUCACGACACUGUGCUUCAUAUGCCCACACACCCGUACAUGCUGACACCACCGGAUCACCUGUGUCACACAAACACUCACGUGUGCAGGACGGUGCACCUGUACACGCGCGACGGCACGUACCUGACCAAGAUUGCGGACCGCGACAGCUGGGUGUGGGCGGUGCGGCCGCGGCCCAAGCACAACUUCGUGGCGGUGGGCACGGAGGGCGGCGGCAUCGCCAUGUUCCAGCUUAUCUUCUCCACAGUGCACGGCCUAUACCAGGACCGGUACGCCUACCGCGACCAGAUGACGGACGUCAUCAUCCAGCACCUCAUCACCGAGCAGAAGGUGCGGCUGCUCAUGCGCCUGGUUGGUUGGCUCCUACUUCGCUACCGCUGGGUGCAGCCUGAAGGGAGGUCCCAUCAUGGUACGCCCUCGCACUGGGUCGGCGCUUACCUGUGUCAAUGCUGUGUGCCCCCACAUCCCCAUGCAGGUCCGCAUCAAGUGCAAGGACUACGUGAAGAAGAUCGCGGUGUACAAGGACAAGCUGGCGGUACAGCUGCAGAACAAGGUGGUUAUCUACGAGCUGGCCAACGCCGACGACUUCGACAUGCACUACCAGUCCGCCACCAAGAUCCAGCAGAAGCUGGACUGCAACCUGCUGGUGGUCACCAGCCACCACGUCAUCCUGUGUCAGGUGCGGCGUCGUGACGGUCGAAUGCACGGCCGCGUGCUUGGAAGAUCUGGUUGAUUGAAUGCGCUGUUGCUGCCAGCCUCGCAUUGGCGCGCAUGCUCAUGUGCCCCCGCCCUGUUCUUAUUUGCCGCCUUGCAGGAGAAGAAGCUGCAGCUGUACAACUUCGACGGCGUCAAGGAGCGCGAGUGGGUGCUGGACAGCGUCAUCCGCUACAUCAAGGUGGUGGGCGGGCCACCCCGCCGCGAGGGCCUGCUGGUGGGCCUCAAGAGCGGCGCCAUCCUCAAAAUCUUUGUGGACAACCCCUUCCCCAUCCCGCUCAUCAAGCACACCGCCUCGGUGCGCUGCCUGGACCUGUCGGCCAGCCGCAACAAGCUGGCGGUGGUGGACGAGAACGCCAAGGUGCUGGUGUACAAUCUGAUCACCAAGGAGCUGGUGUUCGAGGAGAGCAAUGCCAACAGCGUGGCCUGGAACAGCGAGUUCGAGGACAUGUUCUGCUACAGCGGCAACGGCAUGCUGUCCAUCAAGACCGGCGACUUCCCGCUGCACCAGCAGAAGCUGCAGGGCUUCGUGGUGGGCUUCAAGGGCAGCAAGAUCUUCUGCCUGCACUACGUGUCCAUGCAGACCAUCGACGUGCCGCAGUCCGCCUCCAUGUACCGCUACCUGGAGCGCAAGGACUUCGAGUCCGCCUACCGCGUGGCGUGCCUGGGCGUCACCGAGGCCGACUGGAAGCAGCUGGCGCUGGAGGCGCUGCAGGCGCUGAACCUGGAGGUGGCGCGCAAGGCCUUCAUCCGCAUCCGCGACGUGCGCUUCGUGGAGCUGGUCAACCGCACCGAGGCGGGCCGCAAGGCCGGCACCAGCGAGCAGCUGCUGCUGGCGGAGAUCAUGGCCUUCCAGGGCCGCUACCAGGAGGCGGCGCGCCUGUUCACGCAGGCGGGCGCCGUGGACCGAGCCAUGGAGAUGUUCUCUGACCUGCGCCAGUUCGAUGAGGCCAAGAAGUGGGCGGAGGAGUUCGCGGCCAGUGGGCGCGGCGACCAGCGCAGCGUGCAGGAGCUCAUCAACCGCCAGGCGGAGUGGAGCGAGGAGGUCAAAAACUACGACGCCGCAGCGGAGAUGUACAUUAAGGUGCGGCAGCUGGGGGGACUGGCAAAGGGAUGGAAUUCAUGGGACAGUGGAGCCCUUCUCGAGUAUGUUGGGUUGUAGGCCGAUCGAGUCUAUCUCCCUCACCUUUGUUCCCUUCGUGACGCUUAACCCGCACGCACCUCUACAGGCCAAGAAGUACGACCGCGCCAUUGCCAUCCUGGCCAAGCACCAGUGGUGGGACAAGCUCAUUGGUGUGGUGCGACAGCUGGACAAGACGGACGCGCGCUGCCUGGGCAUGUGCGCCGGCCACUUCCGCCGCGCGCCGCACUUUGCGUACGCCAAGGAGACGCUGCUCAAAAUGGACGACACCAAGGUGGGCGCUGGGGGCGCAAUCAACGGGUAUGAACGCGCACCGACCGCCGAAUGUUCAGCCGGGUCACUGACUAAUGCCUUGGUGCUACCCACCUGCCCUGCCGCAAAUCGUCCCCGCAGGGCCUGAUCACGCUGUACGUGGAGGCUGAGAAGUGGGAUGACGCCUUCCUGCUGCUGCACGCGCACCCCGAGUGCCGGCAGGACGUGUACCUGCCCUACGCCAAGUGGCUCAGCAACCAGGACCGCUUCGAUGAGGCGCGGCUGGCGUACCAGGAGGGCGGCUUUCCCAGCCUGGCCACCCGCAUCCUGGAGCAGUUGUGCGCCAACGCGGUGGUAGAGACGCGGUACGCGGACGCCGCCUUCUACUACUAUCAGCUGGCCAUGGAGGCGCUCAAGGUGGGUGAGGCGCUACAGUAGGGAGGUAGAGGGAGGCACCCGCGCAUGCCCGGUGCUCAUGAGGUUACCCGUCCGCGCUGUCCGUUCCUCUCCCGCCUCAUCAAACAACACACCCAUCCCUUCGGACCUGCGCCCGCCGUGUCCCCACAGAGCAUCAAGAACCCGCCCUCCAACAUGGCGCCCUCGGACCGCUCCGCGCUGGAGCGCUUCACGGAGCUGUACGACCGCGCCGAGGUGUACUACGCCUACGAAGUGGUGCACAAGUCCGUGCACUCGCCCUUCCGCACCACGCACCCCGACACGCUCUUCAACGCCUCGCGCUUCCUGCUCAUGCGCCUGCUGCCGCCGCGCGAGGUGCCGCUGGGCGUCAGCGUGGUCAACGUGGUGUACGUGCUGGCCAAGCAGGUGAGGACGGACAGGUGCAGGCAGGAUGCAGGGGCUCAUGGUGGAGCGUGGGGCGGGGCAAGCCGAGGGUGGGCCCGAGCAUCUGCCUGUGUUCUCCCUGAAUUGUCAAUUGACUGAAAUCCCUUGCCGUCGAUCUUGCCCUGCACCCAGGCUGUCGAGGCGGGCGCCUUCAAGCUGGCGCGCUUCGCGUACAACAAGCUGCAGACGCUGGUGCUGCCGGCGGCCUGGCAGGCGGAGGUGGACCUGGCAUCCGUGGUCAUCCGCUCCAAGUGAGUGCAGGGCCUGGGCCGGAGGGGAAGUAGCCUGGUUGGGGGCAAGCACAGGGCAAGGCGGGGUUGGGGGAUGAGGCGGCAGGGGGCCCUGCAGUACCGACCGUACCAGCGCUCAAGUUGCCCACCGCUCCUGCUUGCCCUGCCCCUCUGUCACAGGCCUUUCUCAGACAAGGAGGACCUGCUACCGGUGUGCUGGCGCUGCUCCACCACCAACCCGCUGCUCAACACGCAGGGCGACUACUGCAUCAACUGCGGCGCGCCCUUCAUCCGCUCCUUCGUCACCUUCGAGCACCUGCCCGUGGUGGAGUUUGAGCUGGAGCCGGGCGUGGACGACGAGGAGGCGGGCCGCCUGCUGGGCGAGGACGCGGGCAUGGAGGCGGCGCGGCGCGAGCGCAAGGCGGAGCGGCAGGCCAAGGCGGCGGAGGUGGGCGGCAACAUGCUGCGGCUGGACCAGAACGAGAUCGACCGCAUGGACGACGCCUUCGCGGCCCAGAUGAUGGUGCCCAACACCACCAUCCGCGUGGACCGGGCCAUGCUGCGGCGGCUCAAGACGGCCGAGGUCAUGGUGCGCACCUGGCCCAACCCCGUCAUCCCCAAGCAGUACUUCCGCGUCAUGGACCAGGAGGUGCCGCUGUGCUGCGGACCCUGCGGACACUUCUUCGAGCAGGUGCGUGCCGAGAUAAGCGGCUAGGAGUACAUCAGUACUGGUGCUUGGCAAAGCGGGUGAAAAUGGGGGUGCUUGCAGAAAUUGUUCACACGGGCAAUCUUCACUUACAGUGCACGUUACUCUUUUUGUGCGCACUGUCGCUCACACCUGUCCGCUUGCGCCCUUCCCUCUGCACAGGAUGAGUUCGAGAUGGCGGCGCUGGAGCGUGGCACGGCGCCCUUCAGCCGCACCACCGUGCGCGGCGAGGGCCUGGCGCCGGGCGAGGACGCCGAGGAUGAGGGUGCCGGCGGCAACAAGCUGGGCGGGCCGUUGGGCAGCGCGCGUGGGCCCAUUGGGGGCGCCAGCAAGGCGCGCAUGUCCGUGCCCUUCCAGCAGGGCCGGCCGCUGGUGUGAGCGGGGUCGCCUAUCGGGCGCUUACCGGGUGCGUGGGUGGAUUCCGGAUGUAGGCGGGGAAUAGGAGCUGCCGGUAGUGGCGUUGCAGCAGGCCUUCGUUACGCAGCAGAGGGGGCACGAGGAGGACGUGAACGGGUGUCUUCAUGCUGCUUGUGGUCUGACUUGGUAGGACGGGCGUUGGUGCCAUCAUUAGGCUGCCCCUGCCGGUCCACCAUAGGAGCUGCGAUGGGCCUGAAGCAAGGCCCAUGCACGGUGGCCGGGCACAUGAUGCAUGACGGGACAGAGCACGGGACUUGCUGGAACCAGUGUACAUAUGCCCGCGCAGAGACUGCGUGUCUCGAAGCGGGCACAAAUUGGGACAUGUCGGCGUACAGACAAACGAUGAUGAUGACAGGAUGACAGUUGUUGUGCGGCAGGGGGGCUCCCAAGCCCAGUUGAGGCCCAGGCAGGUUUGGUUGAAUGGGGAUGCACAGUGGCAGUGCUAAUGCGCUGGCGCUAUGAGCGUCCAUGGUGUUGGCGGCCUCAAGUACAAGACACCUUAUAGUAGUUCAAUCUGCCCCGCAAGGUCUUCCCGUGCUGCUGAACCUGGCUAGCACGGUUUCCGGAGUCCGGGCCACUGAGGUCCGUAUCCUUCGCUGGGUCAGGGGAGGCGCUAGUGCAGCCAAGGUGCUACUGUGGUAACUGUGCUCUCCGCAGUGUCCGCACACUGCUGCACAGAGUGGCAGAGGCACAGCGCCACAGCCGCGCAAUUGCGUCAAGCCGUUUUAGUUCUCGGCCGUCUUUGAGGGGAUAAGGAGGAGCGUUGGCUAUGCAGCACAGCACAAAGGCAACCGGGGAGCAAACAAUUACUAACAACUGCUGCUGUUGUUACUUCAGGCUGUGGGUUGAAUUGUGGAUGCCGCGGCGCCGCCGACAUGCCGGGCUCACGGACCGGCCACAUGCUGGAACCCGUUUGCCGAGGCGUCAGAGCUGUGCAAGAGGCGGCCAGGCGAACAACUAGAGGCUGGCCGUAAAGCUGGGCCGCUGGUAGUUGACGGGGCACAGUGCCUGUUUCCGUGCCUGUUUCCAGCUUGCGUUUCCUGUUAUGAACCCGUAUGUACCGGGGAUGCCCCUCCCAGCGUGUGCGGGUCCCAUUGUCAUGUAGUGCUGUAUACCGCCAAUUGGGGCGAGGGAGGUUGCGCAAAAGCAGACAGGUAAGGGCUGGUGGCAAGGCGGGGGCUUGGCGCAAGGCUUGGCGUGGCCGAGGUGGCACUUCGGUCGCUUUUGAGCCGGUGACUGGUUACUGUACGCGGCCUGCUCUUUGCUCUCUCCACCGCUUUCAGGUUCAUCGCCCCGUGCCAGCUCGAGCCAGCUGCCCAGCUCAGCCUGGGUUGGGACAGGUUGGGAUCAUUGGUGUGAAAGUGCGAUUCGACUCGAUUGCGAAUACACCUCUCAGCGCAGGAACCCAUCGAUAGGCAAACGUAUAUAUCCUUAAACAAACAGCAGCACUCAAGCUCCGUAAAGCUUCGCGCCGCCCUCCCGCCAGUGAGAGUUUUUGCUCGGCUCUGCGCCGAGUUUGUUCCUCUCGCGGCGGGGGAUGGCGUCUAGCGGAGAUGUGGCGCUGGCCUUUGGGCUGGUGAUUGCCGCUGGUGAGGCGAGGCGGGGGUCCAAACCGCGCGGAGACUGCAUGGACCAUCACUGGCUUCCGCGCGCUCGUCCCCUUGCAUCUCGCACCUGCCUACCUAAUACUCCAAGCACAUGAUGCAAUGAUCAAGUUAAACAGCACAGCAUGGCAGGUUGCCUACAUCUCCAGUUCUGCUCGGCUGCGUGCCAGUUGGCUACUGCGCUGUUGCGGCCAUGGUCCUGGCCCCUCGCCUCAGUGCGCCCCUUGCCUCCCUCUGCCCGACUGCACUCCCCUCCCUCCUCAGGCCUGUGCACCUGCCUGGGAGCCGCCAUCGCCUUCUGCGUCAAGGUGUCUGACACACGCAUCCUGGCGGCGGCACUGGGCGUGUCGGCAGGCGUCAUGCUGUGAGUGGCCGAGUCGUGCGCGGGCGCGCGGAGGGGCGGGAGGCGGGGAGGGGGAAGGGGCCAAGGGGCCAUUAGAUUGUAAGUUCCCAAAGUGGUUAGGCAGCGGUCAGCGCAUGAUGUACAUAAUGGGUCUGGAAUGGUCUUUGCCGCGGGUGCCUGCCUGCAAGGGCGGAUGCGCUGGGUUCUGCCAGACUGCCUGCACUGAGAAAUAGUGCCCCGUCCACACUUGUGCGCUAGCAUACUGCGUUGCAGUCAUGCUCCCGUAAUGGACCGGCCCACGCCAUGGCAGGUUGGCUCGCCAGCUGCCCUGCUCCUACUCCUUUUAUUAGGCUGGGCCUGCCCCUAACACACGCACACACACACACACACGCGCGCACACACACACACACACACACACACACACACACACACACACACACACACACGCACACACACACACACACAGGUAUGUGUCAUUUGUGGAGAUCUUCACCACCAAGUCCAUUAAGGGGUUCAUGGACGCAGGAUACAGUGACAAGAGUGAGUGGGCGGCGGGGCAUUAUGGGGCAGCGGGGCACUGCUGCUUGAUGGGGUAGGAAGCGUAAGUGUAUGAUGUGGUGGUGGUGGUGAUGGUGGUGGUGAUGGUGGUGGUGAUGGUGAUGGUGAUGGUGGUGGUGCUGGUGCUGGUGCUGGUGCUGGUGGUGGUGGUGGUGGUGAUGGUGGGUGGGGGCUGCGGUGCGCGCGCGGGCGAGCCGGCGUCAGGGGUAGUGAGGCUGCGCACCCGGAGGCUACACAGGCUCCAGCGAGGCGGGUUGGGGGCUCUAGGGUUGAUCCCAGGUCAGCACGGCGUUAGCUAACAUGGACACCCCGUGCGCGUGUCUUCGUAUUUAAUGUGUAUUUUAUAUAUGAUGUCACGUCAACCCACCCUUCCGCGCUGUCUCCACCCCCAACCAGGCGCCUACCGCUACGCCACGCUGCUGUUCUUUGGCGGCAUGGCCGUCACCUGGUGCCUCAAUCAGCUCGCGCACGGCCUGCUGCACCUGGCUGCAGCCAGCCAGGCAGCCAGGAAGCGGCGGGCGGGCGGAGGCGGCGGCGGAGGAGGAGGCACCUGCGGCGGAUGCUGCCCUGCCGGCCUAUGGCUGCGGGGUGGCGGCUGGGGAUGGCGCGGCGCUGCAGCGGGUGUGGACGUUGGCAAGCAGGUGGGUGGGCGCUGCGGCAAAAGCUGUUGACCUCGUGGGAGGGGUGUCGUAGCCUCCCCACCCCCACUGCCAACCACGCCGCCUCGUGUGUGUGGCUCUGUGUGCUGCUCCCCGCUUGCAGGACGACGACACUACCCCGCCCAGCCGCCAGCAGUCCGCACUGCCUGCAGCCCCUUGCUCACAGCACCUGACCGCCCCUGCCAUUGCUACUGCGGAUGCACGCGUCGGCACCGAUGCCUGCAGCACCAGCAGCAGCACUCACGGCCCCAGCUGCAUGGCCCCCGCCCCCUCCGACGCGCCAGUCACAGUGCUGGGACUCACCGCUCCCGCGCCCGCUGACGUGGAGGCUGGCAGCGCCGGCACCGGCAUCACCC